RNAcentral lists this long non-coding RNA (88066 nucleotides) under Citrus maxima (pomelo). RNAcentral describes it as "long non-coding RNA (CMAX_LNC003708)". The record is from RNAcentral. Lineage: Eukaryota; Viridiplantae; Streptophyta; Magnoliopsida; Sapindales; Rutaceae.
GAAUAAAGAACAUAUGUUAAACUAAGGUAAGAAUUUUCAUAUACAUAAAUAAUAGUUAAUUAAUUAAAUCAUUUUAAAUCAUUUAGAUGUUUUUCUGUCAUACAAAACGUAUAAACGUCUAUAAUUAGUUAAUUAAUUGAGCAAAUCCCCAUAUUAAUUUGGCUUGGCUCGGAACCACCUCCACUCUCAUCCGGAUGGGCCCGACCCGUAUUUUUUCGGUGUCGUUAGUCGUUACCCUGUCAAAAAAGCAAGAAUUUAAGACGUGUGAAAAAUACUACACUUUUCAAGUCAUAUAUACAUACAUGUAAGGUUUAGAGGAAGAUCUAUGAGUACCUCACCCUUAUCUAAUAGAUCAACUUCGCCAAAAUGAAUCCUGUUUCCAUUGAGACUGAGGAAGCUCCGUUAUUGGACAGCAAUGGUGAAAUUAAGCAGCAAAUGGACCCAAUUUUUUUCAACGCUGCAGCUGUGGGCAAUUCGGAACCGUUCAAAGACAUGCCAAGAGAGGUAAUUGGGAUCUUGUUUACAGCAAAGACCAAAAACACAAUCCUACAUAUCAACAUCAUAUCCCAAGAAAGAGAAAACGCGUCAACGAAGUUCGCAGAAGAAAUACUUGAGAAAUGCCCAUCGCUGCUACUACAAGUCAAUGCCAAAGGCGAUACUCCACUUCACGUUGCGGCAAAAUUCGGCCAUUCUGAUAUAGUGAGGGUUCUUGUCGAAAGAGCAAAAUUACUUCAACAUGAAAAUGAAGAGCUAGAGAGCGGGAUAAGAACUGCCAGGUAUAUGAUUAGGAUGACAAAUAAUGAGAAGAAUACAGCACUUCACGAGGCAGUGUGUCACCGGAACGUCGAUGUGGUGAAAAUACUGACGAAAGAAGACCCUGAUUAUCCAUAUUCUGCAAAUAAUGACGGCAAAACGCCACUCUACAUGGCUGCUGAUUAUGGGUCUUCUGAUAUGGUGCUUGCCUUAUUGGAAAACAGCACAUCAGCGUCUCAUGAAGGCCCCAACGGAAAGACGGCUUUGCAUGCUGCAGCAAUGAAAUCUUAUUUCGGUAAGUUUAGUUAUACCAUUUCAAUAUUGAUAUCUUUCUAUUAAUAGAUUCUUUCAUAAUGUUUAAGUAAAUACACCCUUUUAAUUCAUUAAUAAAUUAUUAAUUGCCAUAAAUUUAAUCAGGAUAAAUUGUCGGAUAUAAAUUAGUAUUUUAAAAUACUAUAAUAUCCCACAUUAAGGAGAAGUAAGAGCAGUUGAAUUUGGUUUGAAUUAAUUAUUUGGUUGAAUUGCUUACAAAUUAGAAUUGAAUAAUUCAAUUCUAUUUAUGAUUGAAUCAAAUUGUGAGACUCAUGAUGACUAAUUUAAAUUAAAUAAAAAAAGUAGAUAAUAAGUCCAUAUUUGAGUUAGGAAAAAGUUAAACAGUUUUGAUACAUGUGAAGCCUUUAAGGUGGGUUAGAUAGUUCAAUUUUUUUAAUAAUGUUCUUUACCGCUAUCUCAUCUUUCUUCACCAAUUUAUUUUCUUUUACUAUUCUGAAUUGUUGCCCUUGAGUGCAUGUAACCACCUGCCCCGAAUUCCAAAGGUGAAUCUAACUACGGCUGACAUAUAAACUUAGAUAUCUCUUUACAAUCGAUAAAAACUCAAUUCUCAAAAAGAAUUAUUAAACUGCAUCGGAAGAAAUUUAAAAUUUUGUCAAAUCAUCUACUAUCUUCAAUUUCAAUUUUUCUCCUCACUCAUCAUGAAUCAAUCCUUCUUUUCGGGAAUCACAAUAAAUUAUAUUGAACAUAGUAAACAAACUUAUUUUUCAUAUACGAAAUUACAUACUUGGUUAUAUAUAAUGCAAACCAAUAACAUGCCAUGGUAUUUUAAAAAUAUUGUAAAACAAAUUCAUUAAAAUUUCUUUUGCCACAUUCAAACUUCACAUUUCCUUUCAAAUCACGUAUUUCAAUUAUCUUAAUUCAAUUACUACUCAGUAGAACUCUCACUUAACAUUCAUAAUUUUGGUCUUCAUGUAAACGUCCUUCACUCACAUAUCUCUUAAACAUUACAUUUACAGUGUCCACUAAGCGAGUAAUGAAUUCAAGAAACUAACCAAAAUCGAAAAAUUUACUUUCUUUCUUCAAAAUCAAUUUGCUAAAAUUCACUUUCUUAUUUUCUAGAAAACAUGAUGCAUAUUCAUAUUUAUGCCAAUGAACUUUCACACAUACAUAUAUCCAUGCAUAAAUCAUACUUGACACAUAAUAGCACAUCACAUAAAUAUAUGGGCAAAUCAUAUAAAUUAACAUCCGUACAUAUUAAAAUAAGCUUUUCAAACACGUCAAAUAUAUACUUGUUUUUUAUUGUAAUUUACUUAUUUAGGACUUCCUCAAGUAACAAAAGUGUAUUGAUAUUAUCUAUGGGUGGGCACGGUUCGGUUCGGAUCGAAAUUAAGUAGAACCAAUUUAAAUCGGUUAUUUUAUAAAAAGAACCGAAUAAGAACCGAACUCAAACGGAUCUUUUCGGAUCAGUUCGGUUCGGUUCGGUUUUUUCGGUUUUGGGCCUAUUGGGCCUAUUUUGAAAUUUCAAAUUUUUAGCCCAUUGGGCCUCAUGAAUAUAAUAAUUUUUUUCAACAAUUAGUUCAUCCUAAUUUCACUACAAAUAUUAACAAUAAAUACAAAGUAUUCAAAAAUAUUUUAUCACUAAUAUCUUACUAAUUAUUAAUAAGGUACUCACAAAAUAUGAAAUAUUAAAAUUUCAAAAUACAUAACCAAACUCCAAUACUUCAUCUACAUAAACAUAAUCAUAAUGUUGUAAAGACAAAUAAAAAUAACAACAAUUACAACUUACAACACAAAAUAAAAAGAAAAUUUAGAAACAAACGCCAACGACAUUCUCCUAUCUUCACCAAAAAAAAAAAAAAAUUACAAACAAACGCCAACAACAUUCUCCCAUCUUCAUCAAUAUCAACAUCAACUUUAGGCAUUUUCCAACUCAAUAUUUGGAUCUAUAAAAAAAAAUUUAACACAUGUCAAUUUAAAUAAAAUCUAAAAUUAAUUCGAUUUUUUGGUUCGGUUUUUCGGUUCAGCUGAGUGAACCGAAUACCGAACCGACAUUUCGAUUUUUUUUACAAAUGAUAUAUUUCGGUUUUUUUUUUAAAUAAAAACCGAUCCGAAUUAGAAAAAACCACCGGUUCGGUUCGGUGUUUUUAAGACCACGAUUUUUUUGCCCACCCCUAAUAUUAUCGGUCUAAAACUAAUAAGAAAACUCUCAUAAAGAUAUCAUUAUGUCCUUAUUUGUAAGUUACUAAAAUAUCCCAAAAUUUUAAAUUACCAAAUUACCCUUGAAAAUCAUAAAUUACCAAAAUGCCCUCGUCGGUGAACGGUGACCGGAAUUCAAGCGGCGAUGAUCGAAAAAGUCAAAGCAGGAACUUCAGCUCGCUCUGAAUCCAACGGUGGAAGCGGUGUGCUCCAACGCGCAGCCAUGGUGCCGGAUCGAGCUUCGACAGCCGUGAAACUUCAACGGCUGAUCGGCGACAAAUCGGCUACUCUGUUUGAUGGUCAGAAAUUGAAGUAACUGCCAUAAAGAACAAAUCCCCGGUGACGACAUGACCCAUCCGGUAAAAACUCACCGAUUUGAGUCGUCGUCCUCCAUGACUUAACACGGCUUCGUGGGGUGGUCAUAGGCUGUUUUCCGGCAACAACGAUGAUGGGGAAAUGACCGGCGUCGUCUAAGAGUUCGGUUGAUACCCUCCAUCGGCGGAGAUGUGGCCGGAAUCGGAAGCAGCGAUUCAGGUUUAGUGAACAGGUUGACCCGACCCGUUUCUCUCUCCUCUGACCUGAUCGCGCACAUUCUAUCUCUCACUUAAUUCAGUUAAUCCGGUUAAUGACUGAAUAGCUUUAGGAGAAUUAAUUUUCGGAUUAAUGGCAAAAAUACUCUUAAUUUAUGAAGAAAUUAAGCGUUGUUAUGAAGGCAUUAAUUUUUUUACUGUGAAAUCUUCCUAAAAAAAAAAAUUAGUCUUUAGAAUUGUAAAUGUAAUGAAAAUUGGUCUUUUGGAUAACUAAGAUAGGGAAAGUUGGUUUUAGGAUAAUUAGAUUUACCAAAUUAGUCCUUAGAAUAGUGCUUCAAACGUGUCUUAAUGAAUUUUGCAAAAAUUGUUAUUUGAUUAUAUUUGAUUAUAGGCCAAAUAUAGGCCAUUUCUGAAUAUUUACCUAUAUUAAAAGUUUUCAUUAUUAUUUGAUUUAUCUUCUGUAUUCUCAGUUGAUGCUGCAUUACGAAAAUUACUUGAGAAAAAGAAGAAUCUGAUCAAAGAAACAGAUAAAUAUGGGUGGACUCCAAUUCAUUACGCUGUGUAUUAUGGAAAUUACGGGACGGUAAAUUUAUUAUUAGAAACGGAUCAAUCUGCUUCGAAUAUUGCUGACAAAGAUCGAAAGAUGACAGCCCUUCAUUUGGCAGCGGACCGAGGGUAUGUCGGAAUAGUUAAAGCAAUUAUUUCCAAAAAUCUAGAAUGUUACGAGCUGGUCGAUAACAGGGGAUGGAAUUUUCUCCAUUAUGCUAUGGUUAGUUUUUAUGUUGAAGAAUUAGGAAAUCUUCUUGAAAAUAAUCCGUUAGUGAGGAGUCUUAUAAUUGAGGGGGAUGUCAAGGGAAACACUCCUCUUCAUGUGCUGGCUGCUGUACGUCCAGAUGAAUUCGAUGUCCGUAUGAUUAGGAAGAUGCAAGCCAACUUUGACGCUGUCAACAAACAAAAUGUUAGUGUUACAAACAUUUUACUUAAUGGCUAUCCUGAGCUCAAGGUAAUUAUUUUAUUUGUUCUUUCAACUAAAUUAUUAAAAAAAAAUUUAUGCAAUUAAUUAAUAUUCAAAUGUAAAUUAAUUACAGGAAGAAAUCCAAAAAUUAUCCAAAGAUGUUGGCAGAGGACAAUAUUCAGAUGGUGUUAUAAGGGGACCAAAAUACCUUGUAGGGCAAAAUGAUGAUACCAAAGAUGAUUACAAGGAUACGAGAGCAUCACAUUUGGUAGUGGCUGCACUCAUAGCAACAGUAGCCUUCGCAGCAGCUUUCACCAUUCCAGGCGGUUAUAGAAGCGAAAAUGGAACUGCAAUCCUGAGGAGAAAUACAGCUUUUCAAGCAUUUAUAGUAGCAGAUUCCAUUGCCAUGGUCUUUUCUCUUUCUGCCGUCUUUACUCACUUCUUGAUGGCUCUUAAAAUUGAAGCAACUAAAGAUUUCGAUGAGGCUCUGUUUGCUGCUUCCAUUUGGUUCACCUUAUUUUCCAUGGGAGCAAUGGUGAUUGCAUUCGUUACGGGAACGUUUGCAAUGUUAGUACCUUCUUUAGGCCUUGCUAUUAUCACUUGUUUAAUUGGCUUGAGCUUUUUCUUCCUUGCGUUUUGGCUCAUCAAAUUGUCUAUUUUUUUAAGUAGGACAAAAGUAAUUGAUUGUAGUAAGUCACCAUCUUUGUUUAUCAAUAAAAUGAUUGAUUUUCAGUUUAACAUAAACAUUAAUUAAUUUACUCAAUCUUUGCUAAUAAUGAAUAAUUACUUUAAUUGUACAUUGAUCACUGAUGUUUUUAAUGAAAAUAAAAUUUGAGAUCCAGGCCGAUCUACUUUAUUGUUAAUGAUUAGAUUGAAUUGGUGAGAGGGAGUCAAAAUCAAAUUUAAUAUUUCAAAUUGUUUGUAUUUUCUUAUGUUGAUGGAAUAAAAUCUUGAUUACUUUGUCAAAAAAAAUUGAAAAAAUUUAUCUCUUUGUAUAAUGCGUCAUUAGAAAUCUUCAAUUAGACAUGAGUAAAGAAAAUCCAUGAUGCAUGUUUAAGAGUAUAUAUUUGUUUUUUUUAUAGGUUAAUAUAUUGCCAUCGGAAUUUUAUUAAUAUUUACAAUAAAAAAUCUAUCGAAAUUAUUCUUAAUAAGUCUAGUACGGCACAAUUUGAAUUUCUACCCUCACAUAAUAUCAAAGGGAUAUUUGCUCUACUAAUAUUAAUAGAGGAAAAAUCUACUCCUAUCUAAUUUAAUUAGAAGGAAACCAAGUCCAAUAAUAGUUAAGACUCAAAGGUUGUACUAAUGGGCUCAUGAUUACUUAUAUAGGUAAAUAAAAUUUUACCAUUCAACAGAGAUAAUGACACAUCACUUUAAAGUUAAAUCCUAGGACCUGUCUAUGGUACAAAUUCUGUAACAAACAUCUCCCGUCAUCCCACCAUCCGAUCUUCUAUUGUUUAGUUUCUCACUCCACAUCCAACUACAUCCAACGGCUGAUGCUGCAGUCUGUAGCUUACAGAUUCUAUCCUAAAUCCUAUAUCACCAAAUGAGUUGAAUCAAGACCGAGAAAGACAGGGGGACGUUACUUUGAAGGAAUUAUUGCAACCAUUGAAAACUAAUAAAUGAAAUGAUUGAGGCUUCGGAAGCUCAGGCACAUGAUGGGCUAGGUUCUGUUCAGCCCGUCCAUACUUGGAAGGGCUUUUAUGAGAUUAGGCUGGAGCCUGGACUUGUCCAAGUUCAGCCCAUUUUCCAUCCCCUUUUGGUCCCACCACUGAACAGAAAGGAAUCCCAACUCCGAAUUAGCCUAAUCAUCUGCUAUCUGCUGAAUUCCGUGGAAAUAUGUGUGAACCAAAAACAAAAUCGACUUUGGAUUCCUAAAGACUGUGCAAAACACGCACGUGAGCCGAUCCAUGGCCCAAAAGGCGAUUUUUGGACGAUGAUAAAGCGGGCAAGGCAAAAUGCCAAUUCUUAUCAGUAGAAUUGAGGUAAAGUCUCAGUAUGUCUCGACCUUGGUCGUGAGAUUUGAUCAAUUAAAAUUAUAAUUUAGGUGACAUUUUGAGAUAAUAUUACAACAGUUAUUUUUAAUUGAAAUUAAUUAUUCUCAAAAACUACCAAAUAUAUGCUUACAAAUUCAAUAUUCACAAAUUCAAAUGAAUUAGGUUGUAUGAUAUAUAUCACAAACAAAUCAUUUCUAUAAACCAUUUAAUCUAUCACAUAUCGUGUCAAUUGCACUUGAUUUGGUUUGCCUUUGCCAUCUGCUUAUACAUACUAAUUUUAAUAGGAUAAUCGAUCACUAAAUCCUCAAUGUUUAUUUAAUUAAACUACCUCAAAGACUUAGCUGAGUAAUUUUUAAAUAAUUUUACUUUAUUAAUUACCCGAAUUCAAAUCCAAUAGGAGGUUGAGGAAGAAAAAAUUGAAUUGGGCUAGCUGAGGUAGAUUCUUUUUAAGAAGCUCUAAUUAGAAAAAAAAAUUUAAUAUAUUUAUGUAGAUUGCAGCUAGUUUUGUCGGUAAAUUCUUAUUGAAAUAUCUUUAAUAAAUUUCAACAAGGUAUUCAAUAUGUGAGAGGUUUGAGAUGAAUUAGAUUGAAACUAAAAAACAGAGUCUCUUUGACAAUAUAUUAAUAGUGCGUUUAUUAACUAUGAAUCCUAAUAGGCAAGGAUCAUAAUGGGUUGGAAUCAAAAUGUAGAAUAAUAAAUUGUCUACUUCAACUACAAGAAUCGAGAUAAAAAACAAUAGUAUUUUCAAAUUUGAUGUGUUUAUUUUAUCUUAAAAUUAGAAUAGAUGAUUGUAAGUUACAAAAAUAGAGUUAAAAAAAUUAAUUUUCAAUAAAGAUAAAUAAUUUUACUCUUUAUUCUCAUUUCUCCAUUCUUAUUCACGUCUCUUCUAUCUAAAUGAAAUUCCUACUCAUUCCCAAAUUUAUGAGAUUCACUCAAAUUUUAUUUAUAUUUCUUUGUAUUUUUAACAAAUAAAUAUUAUUAGUAAUUCUCAUUCCUCAUUUUUUUUCUAAAUCCUAAAAAUAAACAUAUUAAUGACAUUCAUUGCAUCGAAAAAAUCAUGUGGCUAUCCUAAAAUUGAUCUAAGAACCCACAUUGAGAAUUUGUUUCCUUCUAACUUUAUUUUGACUUUCAAAAGACACGACUUCACUCCCGCAUUCAACCAAUGAAAAGUGGAUAGUUGCUGGUUGUGAGGAAGCCACUUUGGAUUUGGUGAUAGUCACCCUUAUUAGUUAUGACCACCAAAAUGGGAAGUGGCUUAAAAAGCAAAUUACUCUUUCUUAAAAAAAAAAAAAAACCAAAGUUGGUUAGUGUGAGUGAUUUGACACUCUCACUCCUUAAGAGAGGUUAGGGGUUCAAGCCCUGCUCUCGUAUGUAGUCACCACUUUGGCUAGCACUUUACCUCUUACGGGCCGAUCCGGUGCGAGCGGGGAUUAGUCUAAGUUGUGGUACGAGCUUAAAGGUGCCUUCCACAGUUGGGGUCCACUCAGGACCACCUCGUGGUUCAGACAAAAAAAAAAAAAAAAAAGAAUUUUGACUGUAGACUCUCUUGUAUCUACUCAUUGUGAGUUAGAUUCUCUCAUUAUUAGAAAUGUCACCUGUAACUGUAAGUUGUAUAAGGGGAGCCAAUCUCCCUAGCAAAUAACCAAAACGCACAAUAAAAGAAAAGAAAGACAUGUAACUGUAAGUCGCAUCAAGGGGCCUAUCUCCCUAAAAAAUAACCAAAACCCACAAUAAAAGAAAAGAAAUAGAGAGGGGGAUUCGUGAAAUACUGAAAAUUACGGUGAUAAUAAAUUUUAAUUAAUAUAUGUACCACAACUGCUAUAAACAAUAACAGAUAAAUUAAGAAUUUUUAUUAGAUAAUGAUUUUUUUAUCAUUCUAAUUUUGACUAAUAGACGAAUUUAGUGAUUUUAAUAAAUUAAUGAGAUAUUUAAAAAAAACCAUUAUACAACUUUGUAUUCUCAUUCAUAUUUUAAAUGAACAAUUUAUUGAAAUUAUAAAUAUAAUUAUUAUUAAUAAAAUAUCACUCCAUUGUUAGUCUACUGAUCUUUUGUUCAUCAGAAAAUUCCAAAGGAGUGGUUGUAAAUCCCCAUCUUCAAAAGGGAAAAAAAAAAGGUCCAAAGCAAAAUUAUACUACUCGUACGUCCCAUUCAUAGAAUUAUUGCUUCUCUUUUUCGUCACUUCAAAAUUAAGCGUACUGUGCAUCCGAGAUACUAUUCACCCUUGCCUAAUGGAUCAACUUCGCCAACAUGAAUUAUGUUUCCAUUGAGACUGAGGAAGCUUCAUUAUUAGACAACAAUGGCGAGAUCAGUCAGUCGCAAAUAGACCCAAAUUUGUUCAAAGCCACAGCUGCGGGCAAUUCGGAGCCCUUCAAAGAUAUGGCAAGAGAGGUAAUUAAGAGCCUAUUAACAGCAAGACCAAGAACACAAUCCGGCAUAUCAACAUCAAAUUGCAGAAGAAAGAAAAUGUGUCAACCAAGUUUGUAGGAGAAAUACUUGAGAUAUGCCCAUCGCUGCUACUGCAAGUUAAUGCCAAAGGCGAUUCUCGAUCACUUCUCAAUGCGACAAAAUUCGGCCAUUGUGAUAUAGCGAGUGUUCUUAUUGAAAGAGCAAAAUUAGUUGAGCAUGAAGAUGAAGAGCUCGAGAGCGGGGUAGGAGCCUCCAGGCAGACGAUUAGGAUGACGAAUCAAGUGAAGCAUACGGCUCUUCACCAGGCAGUAUUUCAUAUAACUGUCGAUGUGGUGAAAAUACUGACGAGAGAAGACCCUGAUUAUCCAUAUUCUGCAAAUAAUUACAGCAAAACGCCACUUUGCAUGGCUGCUGAGUAUAAGCAAAGAUUGCUGACAAAGAUCGAAAGAUGAGAGCUCUUCAUUUGGCAGCGGGCCGAAGGGAUGCCAGAGUAGUUGAAGCAAUUAUUUCCAGAAAUCCAGAAUGUUAUGAACUGGUCGAUAACUGGGGAUGGAAUUUUCUUCAUUAUGCUGUGUUUAGUUUUGAAGUUGAAGAAUUAAGAAAUCUUGUAGAUAAUAUGUUAGCAAGUAGUCUUAUGAAUGAGGGGGAUGCCAAGGGGAAAUCUAAUGUCCAUUUUUUUGCUGCUGUCCGUCGAAAAUAAUUCUUUGACGAUUUAUCUGGAAGAGUAAAGCCAACUAUGAGGCCAUCAACAAGCAAAAUGUUAGCGUUGCAAAAUGUUGCACCAUGGCUAUCUUGAGCUCAAGGUAAUUAUUAUUAUUAUUAUUUUUGGUUUCAAAUUGUAUAUAUUGAUUUAUUAAUUAAUAUUCAAAUGUAAAUUGCAGGAAGAAAUGUUGAGAUAUAAUUAGUAAUCUAGUAAAUUGAGCAAGAAGUUUGAAGGGUUAUUUGGUUUGUUUUUCAACGUGAAGUAAAGGGUAGAAUUGAUGUUUGCAAUGUGGCUUUGGAAAUGUAAAGCAUGAUUAAUGUAAUCUCUAGAGUUGUCUAUAAUGCAUAUAAAUAUAGAACUCUGGUUGUAUGAAAAGAAAGAGAGAAAAGAAAAAAUGAAUUAAGCAAUAAAGUUUCAGGUAAUUUCCAGCAAAAUACUCUGUUCUUAAAUAAAAAAUUCUCUGCACUUCCGCUUGCACCCAACAAAUUUGGUAUCAGAGCUUUUCCAAAACACCCUCAAAAUGACAUCAAAUACCCUACCCACAUUAUUUUCAUAUGCUCUCAGUCAAGUUCCAAUAUUUGAAGGGGUACAUUAUGAAUAUUGGAGUAAUCAAAUGGAAACAUUUUUCCUCUCUCAAAAUUUAUGGGAUGUUGUUGAAGAUGGAUAUGCUAAACCACCAGAAUCUGCAAGUUCUUCAGAUUGGACUCCAGCACAUCAACAGCAGUACAAAGAAAACAUACAGAGAAAUGCCACGGCACUUCGAUAUAUCCAGCAAGGUGUUAGUAAGUCAAUUUUCCCCAGAAUAUUUGGUGUCAAAAAGGCCAAAAAUGCUUGGGAAAUCCUAAAACAAUAAUUUCAAGGUUCCGAAAAGGCAGUCACCAUCAAGUUACAGACUUUGUGGAAAGAGUUCGAUAAUUUAUCAAUGAAAGACAGUGAAGGAGUUCAGGAUUUUUGCAGCAGAGUUACUGAGAUUGUGAACCAGAUUAAAGGUUGCGGGGACUCCAUUGAAGACAAGAAGGUGAAUGAAAAGGUGUUGAGAUGUCUUCCUCCAAAGUUUGAUCAUGUAGCAGCAGCCAUUGAAGAAUCAAGGGAUUUGUCCAAGAUGACUUUUUCAGAUUUGUCAGGAUCAUUACGGUCUCAUGAGCAAAGAAUCAAUCGACCUUCAAGUCAGCCUACAGAGCAAGCUUUUCAGUCAAAGAUUAAUAAUUCAGAUCAGAAUAAAAGCAGCAAGAAAGACCAGAAGAAUGGAGGCUCGUCUCAAAGAAAUGGACAGCGUGGCAAAGGGCAAAGAGAACAGAACGACAACCCCAACAAGUGGAAAAAUGACAGCGGGAAUUCACAGAAAAAUUCAGAUUCUCAGUGCAUCAUUUGUAAUCGGUCUAAUCAUGAAUCAAAAGAUUGUCGUUAUAAAUGCACAAGGUGUCGCAUUCCUAACCAUUCGCAAAGGGAUUGCUGGUAUCAAAAUAAGACAGGCAAAAAUGAGGCAAAUUUUACAAAAGAAGGUGAUGGAGAUUACUUGUUUUAUUCAAGUAAAGGUGUUGAACGUGAAUCAUAUAAUUUGUGGUACUUGGAUAGCGGCUACAGCAACCACAUGACUGGAGAACGUGACAUUUUCAUCAGCCUUGACCAAAGUUUUAAUUCGCAAGUGAAGCUUGGAGAUGGAAAGAUGCAGAAAGCUGUGGGAAAAGGCAUUAUUGCUGUCCAUACAAAGGGAGGUAACAAAAAGCUCAUUUCUGAUGUUCUUUAUGUUCCAAAUUUAACUCAAAACCUCUUGAGUGUGGGGCAGCUAAUUCAAAAGGGUUUUCCAAUUUAUUUUGAUGAUGAAAAAUGCAAAAUUAUUGAUAAAACUAAUAAUCACACAGUGGCCGUUGUUGAAAUGUCAAAGAACAAAGUUUUUCCUCUUGUUAUGCCACUUGAUGAGAAUGUUGCUCUCAAAACUGAAAAUUCAGAUUUGUCAAAUUUAUGGCAUCUCAGAUAUGGCCAUUUAAACUAUAAAGGGCUGAAUUUGCUCAAGCAAAAGAACAUGGUGAUUGGCUUACCUGAUGUUGGAAGAUAUGAAAAAGUUUGCGAGGGCUGUAUAUAUGGAAAAAUGCAUAGACUUCCAUUUCCUAAAAAUUCAUGGAGAGCCAAAGCUCCGUUGGAGUUGGUGCAUGCUGAUAUUUGUGGUCCUACAAGGACUUUCUCUCUCAAUAACAGAAGAUAUUUCAUUCUUUUUGUUGAUGACUAUACAAGGAUGAUGUGGAUUUAUUUUUUGAAUGAAAAAUCAGAAGCUUUCUCAACUUUUCUUCAGUUUAAAGCUCUUGCAGAAAGGCAAAGUGGAUGCAAAAUGAAGACCUUGAGAACUGAUCGUGGUGGUGAAUUUAUCUACACUCCAUUCAUGAAUUAUUGCAGGGAUAAUGGAAUUCAAAGACAACUUACUGUCAGCUGAAGUCCACAACAAAACGGAGUCGUAGAACGGAAGAAUCGUACCAUUGUAGAAAUGGCAAGAAGCAUGUUAAAAGGCAAAGGCAUUCCUAACAACUUAUGGGCAGAAGCAUGUCAUACAGCUGUGUACAUUCUUAACAGGUCUCCUACAAAAGCUGUUAGAGACAAAACUCCAUUUGAAGCUUGGCACAACCGAAAGCCAACUGUUGAUCACUUGAAGAUUUUUGGGAGUAUUGCUUAUGCUCUUAUUCCAGCUCAAAACAGGGAGAAGUUUGAUGAAAAAGGUGAAAAAUAUUUGUUUAUUGGCUAUAGUGAUGAGUCUAAAGGGUAUCGGUUGUUGAAUCCUACAACAAAUAAGCUUGUUAUCUCAAGAGAUGUUGUAUUUGAUGAGGCAUCAGCUUGGCAGUGGGAAAAAGAUCAAUCUCAAGCAUCUAGCUUUUUUUAAGCUCCUGUAUCUCCACCAAAUUCUUCACAGCAAAAUAAUUUGGAACCAAAUUCUCCAAAUUCGGCAACAGAAAGUUCUUCGGAUGAUGAAAGUCCUCCAAGGAAGAUAAAGUCAAUGAGAGAAAUUUAUGAGUCAUGUGAACUUGCUUUAUUUUCUUGUGAGCCUCAAGACUUUGAGGAGGCCUCAAGAAAUGAAGAUUGGAUCAAAGCAAUGAACGAGGAAAUGGCCACCAUUGUGCAAAAAUAAAACUUGGGAGAUGGUUAAUUUGCCAAAUGGAAAAGAAACAAUUGGGCUGAAAUGGAUCUUCAAAAUCAAGUACAAUGAAGAUGGUUCAGUUCAAAAAUAUAAGGCGCGGCUCGUUGCCAAAGGAUACUCUCAAAUGCCUGGAGUUGAUUUUACAGAAACGUUUGCUCCCGUAGCUCGAAUGGAGACUAUUCGAACUGUUCUUGCCUUGGCAGCCCAAAUGGAAUUAAAUGUGUUUCAGCUAGAUGUAAAAUCAGCAUUUCUAAAUGGUGAAAUUGAAGAAGAGGUUUAUGUUGAGCAGCCUAAAGGAUAUGAAGUGAAAGGUGAAGAAAACAAAGUUUAUCGACUCCGAAAAGCCUUGUAUGGCUUGAAGCAAGCCCCUCGAGCGUGGAAUAGCAGAAUUGAUAGAUAUUUCGUUAAAAAUGGAUUUGACAGAAGCUCAAGUGAACCUUCUCUUUAUGUCAAAAAGGAAGGUACUGAUUUCCUUAUUGUUUGCCUUUAUGUUGAUGAUCUAAUUUAUUGUGGCACUAGUCUGAAAAUGGUGCAAGAGUUUAAAAAAAGCAUGCUAGAUGAAUUUGAGAUGACUGACUUGGGCUUAAUGAAGUAUUUUCUUGGCAUUCAAGUGAAGCAACCCAGAGGAAAAAUCUUCUUUUGUCAAGAAAAAUACGUAGAAGAUUUGUUGAAGAAAUUCCACAUGUUCAAAUGCAAACCAGCACCUACUCCUAUGGGUUUGAAUGAAAAAUUGAAACAUGAUGAAAAAGAAGAAAAGGCUGACGCAAGAAUCUAUAGAAGCUUGGUUGGUUCGUUGAUUUAUCUAACCAACUCAAGACCUGACAUUUUGCACUCAGUUAGUGUUCUUUCUAGAUUUAUGAAUGAUCCAAGGAAGUCCCAUUAUAUUGCAGCAAAGAGAAUCUUAAGGUAUCUUCAAGGAACAAAAAAGCAAGGGAUCAUGUAUGAAAAAGAAGACAAUUGCAAGCUUGUUGGUUUUACAGACAGUGACUGGGCUGGUUCCCUUGAUGACAGAAAAAGCACAUCAGGUUAUUUAUUUUGUCUUGGUACAAAUGUGAUUUCAUGGAGCUCAAGGAAGCAGAAGUCAGUAGCUUUAUCCUCAACCGAGGCAGAGUAUAUUGCAGCAACUGAAUCAGCUUGUGAAGCCGUUUGGCUUGGAAGAAUUCUCAAGGAUUUGCAGUUCAAUCAAGAUGCUGCAACAACAAUUUAUUGUGACAACAUGUCAGCCAUAGCUCUAACAAAAAACCCCGUCUUUCACUACAUCCGUGACUUAGUAAGCAAAGGAGAAGUUAAUAUGGAGUUUAUCAGCACUAAUGAGCAGCCAUCAGAUUUUCUGACCAAAGCAAUCAUCAUUGAGAAGUUUGAAAAAUUCAAGAAGCAAUUGAAGAUUACUAAUUAAGAGGGGGUGUUGAGAUAUAAUUAGUAAUCUCGUAAAUUAAGCAAGAAGUUUGAAGGGUUAUUUGGUUUGUUUUUCAACGUGAAGUAAAGGGUAGAAUUGAUGUUUGCAAUGUGGCUUUGGAAAUGUAAAGCAUGAUUAAUGUAAUCUCUAGAGUUGUCUAUAAUGCAUAUAAAUAUAGAACUCUGGUUGUAUGAAAAGAAAGAGAGAAACGAAAAAAUGAAUUAAGCAAUAAAGUUUCAGUAAUUUCCAGCAAAAUACUCUGUUCUUAAAUAAAAAAUUCUCUGCACUUCCGCUUGCACCCAACAAGAAAUUCAAAAAUUAUGCAAAGAUGUUGGCAGAGGACAAUACUCAGAUGCUGUUGUAUCGAUAAGAAAACCACAUGUAUUUCAAGAGCCUGUGUUUCCUGAAGAUGAUUUCAAUGAUGCCAGAGCGUCACAUCUGGCAGUGGCUACACUCAUAGCAAUGGUAGCCUUCGCAGCAGCUUUCACUAUUCCUGGUGGUUACAAAAGCGAAAAUGGCACUGCAAUCCUGAGGAGAAAUACAGCUUUUCAAGAAUUUAUGGUAACAGAUACCAUUGCCAUGAUCCUUUCUCUUUCUGCCGUCUUUACUCACUUCUGGUUGUCUCGUAUGACUGAACUAACUAAAGAUUUCGAUGAGGUUCUGUUCAGCGUUUCCGUUUGGUUCGCCUUAUUGUCCAUGGCAGCAAUGGUGAUUGCAUUUGUUACGGGCACAUAUGCGAUGUUGGCACCUUCUCUAGCCCUUGCCAUUAUUACUUGUUUAAUUGGCUUAAACUAUUUCGUCCUUGCGUUUUUGGUCAUCAAAGAUAUUUCAGUGAAAAAUCAUGGGUAGGAAACUGUUGCUGAAAGAAGAUUUACACCGUCUUUUUAGUAAGGUUUGAAGUCGGGACCUAAGUUUUAGGGAGGCUACUCCUCAUCGGAUGUUGCUUUGGUGGAAUAAUAAACUUACUAAUGUUAGCACCUUCCUUAGGCCUUCCCAAUUUCCCAUUAUCACUUGUUUAAUUGUGUUGAGAUUAUUCUUCCUUGUGUUUUGCUUUAUCAGAAGAUAUAUCUGUAAGAAAUCGCUAAAAAGAAAAUUGCUUCUUUUUCAUAAAAUAAAGAUAUUAUUCAUAAACGGUUUUCUUACUCACCGCUUUUUUUUUUUUGGUUAGCCUCCUUAAAGGCAAUCUUUAUGUCUUGAAAUUUAUAUAAAUUUAAGCAAAUCUUAAUUAAAAAAGAGAGUUAGUAAUGAAUAAUUUUGCAAUUUUGGAAGAAAUUAAAUAUAAAAAUUUCAUUGUUAAAUGCAUUCCGUGGAUUCUUCGUUUUCUUGGAUGGGAAUCGAGGAUAGUAGAAUUUUUUAAAUAUUCUUAGGCUAAAGCCAUAUUGAUAAUAUUUCAUUUUUUUGUUUUAAGAUUUCUUUAGUAUACACCAACUUAAAAUUAAAAUAAAAAAAAAUUUCAACUUGUCACUAGCUAAUUAAAAAAAAAAAUGUUUAUUAGUAUAAAUUUUAUCCCAAAUUAUCAGAUUAUGAUUUCAACCUAGGAUGGCCUCUUAAAACUUGCUUGAGCUUCCUUUUUAUUGGAUGAACUCCCGAUGUGGACUUCUCAUGUUGUGCCUUUCAUUUUCAAGUUUAAUUUUGCUCAGUUGAAAUUUCUUCAAAGAGAUGUCCACUUAUUUAGUGAUGAAAAUGAUCUUGAUAAGAUAAUGCCCUACAAACAUAAGAAAAACAGUCAAAGGGCCAGCUUUAACGACGUGGACACUCUAGCGAUCAAGUUAAUCAUCGAAUUUUUAAAAAUCUAAUGUUCAGAGUGUGAAAAUUUAGAGAAAUAAAGCCUAGAGAGAGAAAGUCUUCUCUAGCCACUCUCCCCCAAGAUCUUUUUGUCUAAGGUCAUUUUCUUCCAAGCAGUCCCUAUACCUCUCUAGAGGAGCCAGAAUCAACUUCAUCGUCACUAGGAUCAACUUCAUCGUCACUAGGAUCGCUUGAGUUCUCCCUUUCCUCAACUUGAGCUUGGAACUAAUAAAAAAUUCUAUCAAAGUUCGAAGCUAAUGAAUCCACUUUACUUUGGAUCAAGCUUGCCCUUGUCGUUAGGCUUCAUGAUGUGGAUUAGGAAAAGGAUAAACGAGUACCAUGGCUUCAAAUGAUGAAUCCAUCAGUGGUCUUCUUCGUUGAAAAUGGGCUUCCUUAACCCUAGAACUCAAAGAUUCAAACACAGGGUCAUGAUACUCGUAGCUCAAAUCCAUGCUCACAGUUCCAAGACUUUUAGUCGGGAGUUCUCGUAGACAACGCCAAUUUUGUUGGUAAAAAUUUUGUCCCAAUUUAUAAAAUGAUAAUUUCAUGAGCUUCCUCUUUAUUGGAUCAAACUAUGUUGAACUCUCAAUGUGGGCUUCUUAUGUUGUGCCUUUCAUUUUCAAGUUCAAUUGUACUCAUUUGAAUUUUCUCUUAAGAGUUUUCUGCUUCCUUAUGUGACGAGGAUGACCUUAAUUAGAUAAUGCUCUAUAAAUAUAAGUAAAAUAGUCAAAGGCUUGCCUCACCAGCGUAAACCCUUUGAUGAUCAAGUCGAUCACCAAAUUUUUAGAGAGAAAAGUUUAGAGUGAGAAAAUUUGGAGAUAUAAAGCCUAGAUAGAGAGAGUCACUAUUUAUCCUCUUGAGUGAUUUUUGGCUUAUCUUUGAAAAAAGAUGGGAACUUAUAUUUGUAAAUGACUUUGAUUUGACUUGAGUCCUUAUUGUAUUGACGACAAACGUCAUUGUCUUUAUAACACCGGGCAACACUUGUCUUCUUGCGACCAUGCCAAGUAACACUUGGACAUACAACUUUGUCCUCAGAUCAAAAGAGGAAGUUUCUCCAUCCUUUUUGUUUGGUAGAGGAUAUAGUAUCAUUAUGCUUAGUUUUCAAAGGAAGAUAUGUUUUUAUCAUAGGUUUUCAACCUAGAAGUUUGUCUAAGGAGGUUUAUCUUUAGGAAAUUUGUCCUAAGAGGUUUUUUUCUAGAUAAAUUGUCCUAUGAUCAUGGGAUCUUAAGAACCUAAGAGUUUAUUCUAGGUAGCAUGUCUCCUAAAACCUAUAAGACUUAUCUUAAGAGGUUUUUCCCAUAAUCUAGGAAUCUAAAAGGUUUAUUUUGUUUCCUCUUAAUUAGUUGGUAAAACUAUAAAUGAAAGAGUGAGACAGAGAACAUUGAAGCAAAACCAUCCAUCCAAUUACACCAACAGAACAAGAACCUUUCAUUGUUAAAAUGUGAGUUGCUAGUGUUAUAUAUAUAUAUAUAUCUUCACUUUUAAUUCAUUCAACGUAUAAGAAUAUAAUAGUGAGUCUAUCACGAACAAUUACACAAAUAUUUGGAUUAAUGUACAGAUAACCCAUUGCAGUCAACAGAUAAACAAUCAUUGAUUUCUUAUUCUGAUGUGUUGUGAAUAGUAUCAGUAUACUAAAGAAUCAUGUAAUGAUACAGUCUUUUAAUGUCGUACACGAUCAAUUCAAACGUCGCCAGGAAAAUUUUAUUCUUGCUAGUUAAAUUAUAAAUUUGUUUCCAUAAGACUAAUUAAAUACAUUAAAUUUAGGUCCAAAAAACAACCAACAAUGUAACAGAUCAAUGAUAGAAAAUCAUUUACAAUCUCUUAUUGUCAAAUCUGAUCCUUGUAGACAUAAAAUCUGAAAGACAACCAACACAGCAACACAAACAAAGCCAAAUGAACACAAGUCACCACAGAGGGUGGUGGGAACACAGUCGCCAUAUCCGUGGAACCAAAAAUCCACAGACCUAGAUCUAUGGAUAUAUUGAAUUAUACCACUAAGGGCCCGUUUGGGAUUGCUUUUAGGAGAUUUAAAAGUGAUUUUAAAAAUCUAAAAGUUAGUUUUAGUGUUUGGUAAAAAAAAUCAAAAUCACUUUUGUCAAAAUCAGCCCCUCCUACAGCUGAUUUUGAAAAGCAGUGAAGGAGUAGCUUUUAGAUUCUGAUUUUGAGAAUCAAUUUUAUCAUUUAAUACAAUUCCAUGAAUAUCCUUAAAAUUAUUACCUAAACCCAAAAUUAUCCUUAUUCAAAUUGGAAACAAAAUAAAUAUUUUAAUAAAUUUGUAUUAUAAUUCAUCAAUAUAAAUUUAUUACUAUCAAUUUGUUGGUCGAAUUAUUAUUGAAUUUGUUUCACUAUAUUAUUAAUUUAAUUAUCAAUUGUUUUAAGAUAAAAAAUAAAAAAGUAAAAUCAAUAUAUUAUAAAUUUUAUUUUUAAUAAAAAUUAUUAUAAUACACAAUUAAAAAUAUUAUAUGUACAUAUUUUAUAUAUAUAAAUAAAUUUUAUCUUAUAUUAUGUAUAUUUUAGUCAUUUAUUUUCUCGUAACAGUUUAACAGUAAAAUUUACCAAACGUCCAUAAUUGCUUUCAAAACUCACAGUACUUUUUAAAACAAAAUUUACCAAACACUUAACUGAUUCUCUUCACAGUUGAUUAUUUCUACAGCACAGCUAACAGCAAUUAUUUUAAAAGCUACAGCAUUCCCAAACUGGCCCUAAGUCAUUUUACAUAAUUAUACUCAAAAGGUAAAAAUAUUCUCCACUUUAUUGUCAAUUUUCAUAACAAAGUUGAAUAAUAAAUCGAAUUUAAGUUUGUAGGCUUAUAAUUCAAUAGUGCUUGCAAAUAUAAUAUAAAACUUAUGAAUCAAUAUUAAGUGUAAAAUAAAAAUAAAAUAUAGGACUUGUAAAUAGAAGGUAAAACAUGUAAAUUAAUAUAAGAAUUAUUGAAAAAAAUAAAAACUAAAAAAUGUAAGAUCAAACCUCAUUUUAAUAAUGAUUACCUUAUACAUUUGUUGAUUUAUUUUUUUUCUAAACUGAAGAAUGAUAGUUUUGGGUUUAUGUAAUAUAUAUGAUGAUAUAUGUAGAAAUUUUAUUAAGGAUAAAACUUAAUUUUAAAAUCGGAUUUUGAAAAACUCUUCUUUUCAUAUUUUUCAAAGUUGCUCGUAGGAUAAGGUGAUUUUUCAUCAUUUUAAAUCUUCUUGAUAGCAACCACAAAUGAUCUUUAAAUACAAGUAAGAAGCAAAGUUUAAAAUUACAUAAAAUAUAUAUAAAACAUAAAAUUAGAUACAAUUUUAUUGAUAAUAUAUAUAUAUAUAUCUUUUUAUUUUGUUUUGACUUAAUGCAUUCAAGAAAAAUAAUUUGUUUAAUUAACCUCUGUAGUAAACAAUACUAUGAUAAAAAAUAAAAAAAAAUAAUGAAUGUCAUAGAAUGAAUCUAGAAUUUAUAGUUAAAUCAAUUCAAUAAAACUUAUUCUAAUUGUUUUCAAUACAAUUUUUUUUAAUUGAUGACUCACUUUGUUCUUUAUUUAAUUAAGUUAAAUAAAUAAGCUAAUUUUAUUUAAUGAAAGAUUAAUAUUGAUUUCAAAGUUUUAUGUUAUUUUAUAAGUGUUUGUUUUGUUUGUAAUUUGAAAACACUAAUUUACCACUCAUAUAUUAAUAUACUAAUUUUAUCUUUUAUUUAAUAAUUUUAUAUGUAAUUUACAAAACUUAUAUUUAUCAUGAUAAUAAUGCCGUAAUUUUAAUCAUAGUAUCAUAGAAUUUUUCAAAUUUCAGAUAGUAUAUUUUUUGGUUAUUGUAAACAAUUUUUUAUAAAAAUUAAAUAGGGGCAUUAUAGUAUUAACGUACUUUUUUAUAUUUUGAUGUUAUUUGGAGCAAACAAGCUACGUUACAGACUGUAUGUAACAGCUCAGUACAAAUUGAUCUUGUAUCAGCUAACUUUUCCCUCUCCUGCAACACGUGGAUGCUCCCCAUUUGCUACGUUUCAGACUCUAUAAACAACAAAGUCAUCGACUUGCUGUUUUUCCAAGCAAUCACUCAGCAUCUUGCCGCAUAUUUGAGUCAGAGCCCAAACGCCCGAUUUUCAUCCUUGAAUUGAAGGAUGAUUUUGUUUUGGAGCUCGGCGUGGCAAGAAUGCAUUAUCGAACCAUUAUUACAUAUCAUCAUUACAGAGCAGUACCUGAACCACGUGAUCUCCCACCGCAAUUUUUUUAAUAAAAUAUAUAUUUAUUUCUUUUAAAAGACCAAUAACACCCGGACUGUCUCAUAUUACAUAAUCAUACUCUAAAAAGGCUAAAAUAUCCUAAAUAAAAAAAUAUUCUCACUAAAUAAAAAAAUAUUCUCAACUUUAUUAUCAAUCUUCAGCGAUCAUGCUAUGUUACCACAGCGGUAACAUACCGCACUUUUUUGUUCUUUUAAAUUAAUUACACUACAAUCCCUGUUUUAUGCUAAAAUUAGAAAAAAAAUCGAUAAUCUUAAAUUUUGACUCAUUAGCCCUACUUGUUUUGAUUUUUUGAAACUUAAAUCAAAAUGUGAGGGUAUUUUUUAAUUAUUAAUUCACACACCCAUCAUCAAAGUUGUAAAAAGAAAAUUUACUCCAUACACCUACUUAAAUGUCAAAUAUAUCCUUGUUAAAACUAAUUUCAUAUUUUUACUAAAUUAAUUAAUUAAAAUGAUAUAAAAAAAUGAUUGAAUUAUUUACAUGCCCACUAGUUUCAAUUCCAUAUCUCUAGCAAUUAGCAACUGAAUUUUAUCACUAACUCAAGAUUAUCAACCAUGAGAUGUGAAAAAAAGGUUCUCAAAUAAAUGUGGAGUAUAAAAUAACUUUGCCUUCAAAUUCUUUUAAAAGAUUCUAAACUUAUUUAUUAAGCUCGUAGAUGUAAGAAUAAACGACGAGAAAGUUGCCACCCUCCCUCACACUUUUUGAUACCUUCUUAUUAAACAAUAAAAAAUUAUUAAUUGGUAAAUUAAUAUAUUUUUAUUGCAUAUUGAAAUUAUUUACUAUAUAUUGAAUAAGUAUUAUGAAAAAAAUAUUAACUACAAAUUAAGAACAAGAGAUCAAAUUCAUACUAUAUUUAUCAUAAAAUAUUGUUUGUAAUUAAUACAUGGUUUUACUAUAUAUUAAACUAAUUAAUUAAUAAGAAAGAAUAUUAAUUUAAACAUAUUAAUUCAAAUAUAAGAAUAAAUUAAUUUAUUAGUGAAAUUAACUGGGUCAUUUGACACAAUAUAUUGUAUUGCAUUAGAUGCAUUAUAUUACAGUGUGUGUCAUUAAUGUGUAUUGAAUUGUAAUAUUUAUAUCAUUAUUUAGAUUGCUAUUAAUUUUAAUUUAAUAUUAUUCAAAUUUAUUAAUAUUUAAGUAUUUAUUAUUUUUAUAUUAAAUAUUUAAAAAUAUUUAAUUUUUAUAUACUAAUUAUUAUAAUAUAAUUAAAUAACGUAGUAUUAUACUAUAUUAUAUUUUUAUUUUUAUAUAUUAUUUAAGUAUUUAUUGUUAGUUCUAUUAAAAUUUUAAAUAAUAAUCAAUUUUAUUUAUUAAUUAUUAUAAUAUAAUUAAAUAAUAUAAUAUUAUGUUAUAAUUUUUUAUAUAACAUUUAAGUACUUAUUAUUAGUUAUAUUAGCUUAUUAAAUGUUAUACAUUAAUGUAAUAAUCUGUUUUAGAGCAAACAGAGGAAGGUUACUGUUGGGUUAGUUUUCUGUAUUACCCAUUUGGCAGUUGGCCAUAUCUUCAAGUUCGUUCCUCCAUCUGUCAGUCUGUUUUGGAGCAAACAGAGGAAGGUUACUUUCAUUAAGAGGAAUGAGAGAUUUAAAAUACAAUAUUGCACUCCAAGACUCGAUGCCUAUUAACAAACCAAGGGUUCCCUUUUAUAGGCACAAGGGAACCACUAUUACAUACUGUAGACAUUAUUAAACCUUAUCACAAAGGAAUCUACUUUACAACUCACUCCUUUACUUUAUGUCACACUCACACCAAACCUUAUCACAAAGGAAUCUACUUUACAACUCACUCCUUUACUUUAUGUCACACUCACACUCUUAUCCUUAUCUCUAAGGAUGGUACAUAAUACAUACGAAUACAAAUACACUAUAUUAUUAUCACCAAUGCUUCCACUGUAGGGUCCACUAAGCUUCCGCUAUAGUCCAGAGUUGCCACUGGUUGGCGUGCUACGUCCUGACCGAUGGUUCCAUCGUUCUUCAGAUGCGGCGUCCAUGUCUUCUCCCAUAUUGGGCCACAUUGGGUCUGGCUGUGGGUUUAGUUCUGGCUGGGGCCAUUCUUGGAGGUCUAGCCAGUUGGCCAUAUCUUCAAGUUCGUUCCUCCAUCUGUCAAUAUCUGGGGUAUCCAGAUAGGUGAUGUCUUGUGGCCUGCCAUGUCGGGAAAGGUAGUCAUUAUACUUAUGCUGCAUGUCGGCUGCCUCGUCUUCGUCUCCAUAUAGUUUGAGAUUUCGUAUCUCCUCUCUGUAGUAAAGGUCUGGAGUACUGCAGACUUGUGGGGAUACUGGACUGUGGGUGUUGUACAUGGGAACAGUCCCGUAUACCUCUGCUAAGGCUUGCCUAGCGUUCCAGCAACCAGUCCACAUGGAAUCGAUUUCUUCAUGGGAGUGGUCAUGUUGGACUACCUGUAUAAAAGGCUCUUUGUACCGUCCCCAAAUAUCUGUGAGUUUCACGAUCACUAUUGUAGAGCGGGUGAUGUGAUAACCGUUGAUGAGCUUUAGUGUGAGGACAUCUUCAAAGAUGGGGGCGAACAUUCGAUCGAACCAUCUUCCUUUACCGUAUCUUCGGCUGGUAUGGAUCAGGUUUGGUUCGAAUAGUAUUGCCACGGGGUAUAUGUUGAGCCAGUACCAUGUGAUGUAGUAAGCUUGAGGGGUUAUGUCGCAAAUGACAUAAUGACCCCAAUUGGAGUUCUCAUCUAUCACAUAGUGAAAAGUGCAACCAACCUUGAAGAUAGUUUCAUGCAUCUGGUCCGGGUUUGGAUGCGGAUCGAAGGCUCUUUGGCACUUCUUGUUAUGGGCAGGUCUGUGUUCUUGCAUGGCCAUGAGCUGCCAUACCCGCCAUGCAGAGCCUGAUCUUCCGGAUCUCUCUUGUGAGAGAUGAUUUUCUUAAAGAUGUCUUCCUGUACUUCAGAAGGAAGCCAUGCAAUAAAAGUAUUGAGAUCUUUGAGAAAGUGUGAUAUGUUUUCAUGAGCACUGGAGCUGCCUUCUUCCCAUCGUCUCGGGAGGCUUCUUCUUGUGAUCAUGGUGAUUGGUCUAGAAAGGAAAUCCGCUACAGUAUUGGAUUCUCGUUUGAUGUGUCUGGCUUCGAACUUAAAUCUCGAUAGAGAUUCGGACCACCUUGCUAGUUGUGGAUCUGGGAUUUCUCCUUCUUUUCUUCUGAUCAAUCCCAGGAAGUACUUGUAAUCUGUUUCAAUCACAAAGGGGGUUAGAGAGAGAAAGAAUUGAAACUUCUUGAUCCCAUUGGUGACUGCUAAGACUUCUUUCUUUGAGGAUGGGUAGUGGCUUUGAGCGUCGUUGAACUGGCCAGAUUUAUAGCCACAGACUCUCCUGUUUCCCUCGGAUUCCUCUAUCAAUAGUGCUCCCCAAUAAUGGUCACUAGCAUCUGUCUGUAAGAUGAGCUGUCCUUUGUCAGGUAUCUUUAAUGGUGGAAGUGAUUGGCACUUUUGCUUUAAAUCUGUCACAGCCUUUGUCGCUUCUUCCGACCAUUGUGGGGCACCCUUCUUUAAGUGCUUUGAUAUCUGACUCGUCAUCUUUGACAAGUUCUGCACAUGGUCUGCUGCAUAAUUGAUUAUCCCGAGGAAUUGUUGGAUUUGCUUUCUGGUUGACAGCUGGUCUGGGAACUGGGAUAUUUUUUCAGCAAUAUGUGGCUGAGGAAUGAUGAAUCCCUGUUUGAUGUGUAGUCCCAAAAAGUCUACCUCAUCAAGUCCUAUCUUCAUCUUUGGUUCUGACAAAGCCAACCCAUGUUUAUAGGUAAGAGCUUUGAAUUGAGACAGGUGUUCAGCAUGUUCUUCCUCACUGUUGCUGAAGAUAAGGGCAUCAUCGAUGUAGAUAAGGCAGAAUUCUGAAAUGGAUUUAUACACCUCAUCCAUGCUGUUUUGGAAUUCUGACGGUGCAUUCUUUAGGCCGAAAGGCAUCACAUUCCAUUCAUAAUGCCCAUGGGGGACCACAAAUGCAGUCUUGUGUCUGUCUUCUUCCUUGAUUCCAAUUUGCCAAAAGCCUGACUUCAUGUCAAACUUUGAGAACACCUUUGCUCCAGCAAUGCGUUUCAAAAGAUGUGUCCUCCGUGGAAUCGGGUACCUUAUGUCUUGCAAGCAAUCAUUUAGCUUUCGGUAGGCUAUCACCAAUCGCUUCUUUCCACGUAUUUGCUCUGAAUGCUUGUUGACAUAGAAUGCUGGGCUGGCCCAAUGAGACUUAGAGGGCCUGAUGAGCUUUAGAUCCAUAAGGGCCUGGAUCUCUGAUUUGCACAAUUCUUCGUCAUGGGGCAUGCCUGGAUGAGAGGUUGUCUGGUGAGGCAUGGUCCAUUCAUCUUUAUAUGGUAGAGACACAAAGUGUUGUUCUCUAGCCCAGGACUGGUUUGGUACUUCGGCACAGCAUUCAAGGAGUUCCUUAAUUUGGGGUUCAUAUUUAUGGAUUGGGUAGUUUGUUAGUUUUCCACCCUCUCCAAAAAUGGAUUGCUUUUCAACCCAAGGAACUUGAAAAGUAUGCUGAGAACCAUCGACUGGAUUGCGGAUGGUGUAAGAGAAUCCUUCAGGAAAGAAGGCAAAAGGGGCAACCAGACGGAGAAAGUCGGUGCCAAGGAGGAUAUCUUCGCCGGAGUAAUCGAAGGCAAAGAACCCAUGUUGGAUCAUAAAAGGUUGGAUCUCGAUAGGACGAGUAACCUUUUUGCUGUAGAAGUCCCUGCCACUGGCGGAUCCGAAAGAAACCUUAGUAGGAACAUAGAAUUGUCGGGGAACACAGGCUUCUCGGAUAAAUGAGCACAUAGCUCCUGUGUCAAUGAGAGCAGUAAGAGCUACCUGGCUAUCUUCAGAGGGAUUGAGGAUGACUUUGAUGUGUGGCCGGAAGUGGGAAGACCGUUGUACGGCAGAAGUAACUUGUAGAGGUUCUCGAACAGUGAGAACAGUGUCAUCAUCAUCAUCAUCGGGGGAAUCACCGUCUGAUGUAGAAGCAAUAUCCUCAGAAUCAGAAAGAGGAUAUUCAUCAAGAGUAUAGACAGCACCAAAGGGGCUAUCGGACCAGGUAUAAAUGUCGUCAUCAAAAUCAUCUUGCUGGAUCAGCUGGAUGAGUUUGGCUGGGAGUUUCUUUUUGGAUUUACAUUGUUUAGCAUAGUGGCCUUUCUUGCCACAGAUGAAACAUCUGCCAGAGCCUUUCUUGUGUUUCCGUUUUUUGAUGAAACGGUAUUUUUUCCCUUUGUAUAGUUUCCAGGGGCGUUUUGCUUUCUUUUGUCUGCCAGGAUUACAAGAGCACAUUUUGUCUGUAUGUUGGCAACCAAAUUUGUUUGGUUCCUCAUUACAGAAUUUUUGCAGAGAGGAUUUCUCAAUCUGCUUCAUGUGUCUUCGUAAAUCUUGAGAUCUGCAGUGACUUUGAAUAAGCUCCAUUGCAAUCUGGUAGAGCUGUGCAAGGCUGAGCUGUGCUAAAUCAGUAAUUGCAUCAGCUUUGAAUUUGGCCUCCAUCAUUUCUGCAACUGGGCCUGGCAUGUUUAGCACAAAUGUCCUGUGUAUGGUAUCGGAUUGUUUGUCAAAGAUGUAGUACAACCUUUCCUGCUCCAGGUAGUACUCUUCUAUUUUCCGAACAUCACAACACUUGUUUUGGAGAAAUUGCUUUUCAGCAACCUCUUCUUCUCUUGUGAAAUGGCCUAGAAAAUCCAAGGAUAGAUUUUCAACUAGGCUUCCACAAGGAUCUUCUCUGCUGAAAAUGAAUUGUCGUUGCUCACUAGUAAGCUUUCGUCCCCACCAUCGUCUUAGCGAUCUAACAAAUCCUGCUACCAGCCGUAAUGCGGCUGAUCUUCUACUCAACUGGGGGGCUCUUUGACAUUCUCCUUCGUACCAAGCUACCAUUUUUUCAAAAUAAGCCAGCUUUUCUUUAGGCUUCAUUCCAUCAAUGUUCCAGAACAUCUUUCCGGUUGUGGAAUGUCCGAGUUGUACUCGGGUUUCCCAUUCUUCUCCUUGACUGACUUCAUCUAUAUGAGGGGCACGAUCAGUAGGUGCACCAGCCGGAUUGGAGGAGGCUUCUGUAGCUGCUGGUUCUGUGAAUUCAGGGGCAGUGAAUUGUGUUGUCCUUGAUGGGUUUUGAGUUUGCCUUGUAGGAUCAGAGGUUUGGCCAGGUGUUGUUGUUGAAGCUGCAAAUCUGGUACGUGUAUCCACAUAAAAUGAAUUUGUAGGAUUAGCUCUCUGCAUUAGAAUAGGAAUUGGAGGGUUCUCCAUAGAAGAGAUGCUUGAGCUAUCAUCAGUAUCUGUUUCCUCGUCCCACCCAGUAGCCUUCUGGGGCCAUGGGUACUGAGGAGGAGGAGCAUAGCUUCUCCAAAAUGCUUUCUGGCAAUUCCCAUAUGCAUUUUCCUCCUAGAUGUGCCAUGGUUUUGUAGGCUUGCUCUUCCAGUGCCUGGACACCUUUGGUUGUUGAUAACUCUCCCUUGUCCUUCUCAUUUCAUCUUCGUCUGCUGCUCCAGUCAUCACAAUCAUAUUGACUGACCUGGAGGCACUAUCAUGUAGUUGAGAGAACUGUUGGGUGGUCAUCUUAUGUUGUUUCUUGUUUUUCUUUAGCUAUUUUCUGAUUACAGCUAAGUCAGCAAGAAUCUGUUGUUGAGUGACCAUGAUGUCUCCCAAGGCUUGGUUUUGUUCCACAGCAUUGAUGUUUGACCAGUUGAUUGCCUUCUCAAUUGGGCCGAACUCUGUUGGGUUAGUUUCUGUAUUACCCAUUUGGCAGCAUACAUUCCUCCGGGGAUAUCUUUUAUGAACUCAUUAUCAAGAUCCGGAGUGGUAAUCAUGUUUACUGGACCCAUGAUUCUGCAGGAGGUAGUUCUUCUUGGCAUAUGUGUGCACAAGGAGAGAUGCUUUCCUUCAAGCUGGCAUUUUUCACAUGGAUAUAGAGCUUUAGUCUCUGUGGGGAAAGAGAUUGAUACUCUUCCUUCUUGUAGCCUGCUUAUUUUUGGGACCUCAUGGAUUUGUUGAGGCCUGUUGUUUUUCUCAUACUCAUUAAUCCAUUGAGGAGGAAACAUGAGUUGAUUUUGCCUAUAAGUCCUAGGUUGAAAGACUCUGCCAUCACCAGCAAGAAAUCUGGUAAUAGGCCUGCCAGAGCUACUCAUAGAGAACAGAUGGGUUUGGACCUUAUAGGUCAUAGUGUGGUGGAUUGCCAAGGCAGAUUCAUCAGGUUUCAUGGUUAGACCAUUGACCUGAAUUAAUACCUUAAUGGCAUCUGUGAGGGAUGGCUUGUGUAUAUCAAGGGUAAAAUUUGGCUCAACUUGGAGAACAACAUGGCCUUGGUUGAGUCCUGCUUCAACAGCAGUAAUUAAAGCCUUUUCAAAAGUUUGCCAUCUAGUGUCUAAAAUGACAAUGAAACAUGUGAUAUCUUUUCCAGCUAGGAAUAAAGGUUGUAUCCCUAUCUGGAUUGCUCCAAGGUGUAAUCCCUUGUAUCCCUGAAGUUUAUACCUUGUAAUCUCGCUGGAAGAGAUUAUGGGAAGGUAUGUUUCUUUUGAGCUUGAGGAGAUUGACUGGACAGUGAUUUCAGAGGAUUUGAAGAUGGUUUUAAGCUUAGGUUGUCUUAUGGGGAUUAUGGCUCUUAGGUGGUUAAGAGUAGGGCUAAUAUGGUAGUAUCUGUAAGGAUCUAACGGAUCAAGUCUGAAGGACUGAACCGCUCUCUCACUGUUUUCAUCCUCUUGGGUUUCAUAAUAGAAGUUUACAGAGGGUGAACUAUCAGUUGGUACUCUGAUGGCCGAAGUAGAUGGUUGGUCAGAAAUUGGUUGGUUACUGGAUCUGUUACUGUUUUGGGUUUCCAUGGCUAAAAGAAAUCAGAGGGUUUUCUUUAGGGUGAUAAGCCCUAAAACACGGCACUUCUUGGCCUUCUCAAGGGGGCGCCACACCUUACAGAAUUUACUCUGUAGUGUUUUAGUAUGGAAAGUUUAGACAGGCAGACUAGUAUCCAACAACUUUCUGAUGUGGAGGAUCCGAAGUAUUUCGGCAACCACAGAGCAUAGUAUUGUUGCACACCCAGGGGUUUCCUUUUGGGAAAUAUGGCUCUGAUACCAAUAAAUCUGUUUUGGAGCAAACAGAGGAAGGUUACUUUCAUUAAGAGGAAUGAGAGAUUUAAAAUACAAUAUUGCACUCCAAGACUCGAUGCCUAUUAACAAACCAAGGGUUCCCUUUUAUAGGCACAAGGGAACCACUAUUACAUACUGUAGACAUUAUUAAACCUUAUCACAAAGGAAUCUACUUUACAACUCACUCCUUUACUUUAUGUCACACUCACACCAAACCUUAUCACAAAGGAAUCUACUUUACAACUCACUCCUUUACUUUAUGUCACACUCACACUCUUAUCCUUAUCUCUAAGGAUGGUAUAUAAUACAUACGAAUACAAAUACACUAUAUUAUUAUCACCAAUGCUUCCACUGUAGGGUCCACUAAGCUUCCGCUACAGUCCAGAGUUGCCACUGGUUGGCGUGCUACGUCUUGACCGAUGGUUCCAUCGUUCUUCAGAUGCGGCGUCCAUGUCUUCUCCCAUAUUGGGCCACAUUGGGUCUGGCUGUGGGUUUAGUUCUGGCUGGGGCCAUUCUUGGAGGUCUAGCCAGUUGGCCAUAUCUUCAAGUUCGUUCCUCCAUCUGUCAAUAUCUGGGGUAUCCAGAUAGGUGAUGUCUUGUGGCCUGCCAUGUCGGGAAAGGUAGUCAUUAUACUUAUGCUGCAUGUUGGCUGCCUCGUCUUCGUCUCCAUGUAGUUUGAGAUUUCGUAUCUCCUCUCUGUAGUAAAGGUCUGGAGUACUGCAGACUUGUGGGGAUACUGGACUGUGGGUGUUGUACAUGGGAACAGUCCCGUAUACCUCUGCUAAGGCUUGCCUAGCGUUCCAGCAACCAGUCCACAUGGAAUCGAUUUCUUCAUGGGAGUGGUCAUGUUGGACUACCUGUAUAAAAGGCUCUUUGUACCGUCCCCAAAUAUCUGUGAGUUUCACGAUCACUAUUGUAGAGUGGGUGAUGUGAUAACCGUUGAUGAGCUUUAGUGUGAGGACAUCUUCAAAGAUGGGGGCGAACAUUCGAUCGAACCAUCUUCCUUUACCGUAUCUUCGGCUGGUAUGGAUCAGGUUUGGUUCGAACAGUAUUGCCACGGGGUAUAUGUUGAGCCAGUACCAUGUGAUGUAGUAAGCUUGAGGGGUUAUGUCGCAAAUGACAUAAUGACCCCAAUUGGAGUUCUCAUCUAUCACAUAGUGAAAAGUGCAACCAACCUUGAAGAUAGUUUCAUGCAUCUGGUCCGGGUUUGGAUGCGGAUCGAAGGCUCUUUGGCACUUCUUGUUAUGGGCAGGUCUGUGUUCUUACAUGGCCAUAAUUUUUACUUAUUAAAUGUUAUAAUAUAAUUAAGUAAUACAUUAUUUAAUUAAAAUUAUAAUAUAAUUAAAAUAUUUUAAUAUUAUUGAAUAAUAAAUUGUAAAUUUAUGGACUUAUGUGUUAAUAUUUUAAACUUUAUUACUUUUGUAAUUUUGUAGCAAACAUUGGGGAGUAUAACGUUAAUAACCCAACAAAAACAUCUUAGCCAUUACCCUUGUUCUGAAUAAAAUCUAACGGUGGAUUAGGAAAAGACAAAAGAAUGUGGUAUGUUACGACUGUAGUAAGAUAGUUGGACCCCAAUCUUAAUAACAAAGUUGAAUAAUAAAUCAAGUGAUAUAAAAAAAUCGAGUAAAAUAAUAAUUCAAAAGUAUUAGCAUUUUAACUUAUAGGCUUGUAGUUCAAUAAUAUCUACAAGAGAAUGAGUUUGAGCCACGUAAAAUUUAUUAUAUUUAAAAAAUAGUAAAUUUGUCGAUUGUAUAUUUCUACAUACAGUAAAUAAUUUUUUUUAAAAAUUAAAUAUGGGCAUUUUAGCAUUAACUUAUUUUUAUAUUUUGAUGUUUUUUGGAGUUAUUGCAAUUGCGGCUUCGGGUGAUUCCUUUCAUUCGCUUGCUCUGUAGUAAUAGCUACUACCAUGCAGAAUGGAACUGCGAGAAAUAGAAGAACAGGAAAACGAUGUCGUUUUACCGAAGAAGAAGAAGACGAAGAUGAAACUGAGAAAGAAGAGAAAUCGAGAGGAAAGAAAAGAACAACUCAAAGAAGAAGAAACUGAAGAAUUAUUGCAGGAUCCACUGGAGGCUUUUGGUGGAGACAUAAUGUUGAAGAUACUUCAAAACCUAAAGGCACGCAGUGUAGCACCGACUCUCCUUGUAUCCCGUGCUUGGAACGGCGUUGCUUCAAGCGACACGCUUUGGACUCCCAAGGUUCAUUUCCUUUCCUAUUCUUUUUUUUUUCCCAAUCUUUUUGCCUGGUACUCGAAUUUAGGUUUGUUUCCUUUUUUAAAAUUAAUUAAUUAAUUUAGUGUUUUCUUCGGAGAAUAUGAGAAUUGGGUUUUUUUUUAGUUUCACAAUUGGGUUUUUGUUUUAAGUAUUUUUGGUUGUUUGAAAUAAUCAUAUCAUGAAUACAAUUGAAUUUGAAUUUAAGCUUUUCAUGUGAUCAUCGAGUUUUAUGUUCCUAGUUUACAGGAAUUUGUAUUCAGCGCUGAGCUGAGGUUUUUGUUAAUCUUUUAGAAAGAUAAGAAUAUAAAAUUAAUUAAAUAUUCAUCUUAAAUUGUUAUCCAUGCAUGUGUGGUAGAUGUUUACGAAGAGAUGAGCACAGCUAAGCUCAGUACUGGAUCUAAAUCCAGCUUACAGGAUUUCUUGUCCACCAGGAGCAUUAUAUGAAUACUCGACUUAUUGUUUGACUCAAUUUACUACUCGACUUGGCUUUCUUGACCAACUUGAAUUCGUCUGAGUAUUCUCAAUUUAAGCUGAAUAUUUUUUGUCUCGUAUCUAUUUGUCGUUGCUCACCCCUUAAGGGUAUAUCUAUGUAAAGUGACUUAGUUGGGGUAUAUUGUUGGUAUAUUUUAUUUUAAAAUCCUGGGCCCUAGGAAGCCCUUUCUUAUCAUUGAAACUAGACCUUGGCUAAAUUAUUGGUUUAUUUAAAGGAUUGGGGUAUAUUUUUAUAUAAAACCAAACUGAAUUGUGAAUGCCACUGCACGUUUUUACAGCCUUAUAGCCUAAAUUGCUUAUUCCUUCUGAUUGCAUGAUUUGUGAAGAAUUUUUUUUUUAACUUAACUUCAAUUAUUUUCUCUGCUUUAUUUGAAACCUAACCGGAAAGAAUAUCUACCUUUUUUUAUUUUUUAUUUUCAGUUCUCCAGGUAACUUAAUCGGUCAUGCUUCUACUUUGAAGAGUAACUGAGUACGGAUAAUUUACUUGAGUUUCCAGCUGAUGGCAAUGCUGAAUCCUACAAAGAUAUGGCAAGAGAAAUAUUUGAGAGCUUAUUAACAGUACCGGCCAGGAACACGAUCCUGCAUAGCAACAUCAUAUGCCAAUGAACAGAAAAUGCAUCAAUCAAGUUCGUAGGGGAAAUACUUGAGAUAUGCCCAUCACUACAAACACAAGUUAAUGGCAAAGGUGAUACUCCACUUCACGUUGCGGCAAAAUUCGGCCAUUUUAAUAUAGCGAAUGUUCUUAUGAAAAGAGCAAAAUUAGCUCAACAUGAAGAUGAAGAGCUAGAGAGCGGGUUAGGAGCUGCCAGGCAGAUGAUUAGGAUGACGAAUGAAAAGAAGAAUACUGCAUUGCAGUCUGCACGAGGCAGCGUUUCAUGGCAAAGUGGAUGUGUUGAAAAUACUGACGAGAUAAAUACCUGAAUAUCCAUAUUCUGUAAAUAAUUGCGGCAAAACGCCGCUCCACAUGGCUGCUGAGUAUGAGCACUUUUCUCAUAAGAUGCUAGCCUUAUUAGAAAACUGCACAUCAAUGUCCCAUGAAGGCCCCUACGGAAGGACAGUUUUACGUGAUGCAGUAAUGCAGUUGGAUUUCCGUAAGUUUGAUUAUACCCUUUCAGUGCGAAUUUGAAUAUUUAGAUCUUUUCCUGCAGGUUUUGUUCAUGCUCUUUCAUGCCCACGGGUCUGACAGAAUGAUUCUCAAGUAAUUAUAUUUAGUUGGUCACCAAAUUUAAAUUCUGAGAGGCUAGUGGUGGAUAAACAUUGAAUUUGAAUUAUAAUUUUAUUUAUCUUUUGGCUCUUUACACUCAGAAAUGAAUUAUCAUGCGAUGCAACAAUUAUUUGAAAAAAGGAAGAGUCUGAUCAAAGAAACAGACCAUUAUGGGUAGACUCCAAUUCAUUACGCUGCAUAUCAUAAUCAAUAUCAACAGAUACAUGUGCUAUUAGAAAUUGAUCAAACUGCUUCAAACAUUACUGAACAAAGAUCGAAAGAUGACAGCUCUUCAUUCGGCAAAGGGCCGAGGGCAUGCCAGAACAGUUGAAAGAAUUCUUUCCCUUACACCAGAAUGUUAUGAACUGGUCGAUAACAGGGGAUGGAACUUUUUUCAUUAUGCAAUAGUCAUUUUUUUUUUUUAAUGAUUUAAAAACUCUACUAAAAUAUCCGUUAGCGAGGAGUCUUAUAAAUGAGGGGGAUGCCAAGGAGAACUCUAUAUGAUUAGGAAGACUCGAACUAACUAUAGGCAAAAUGUUAGUGUUAGACACAUUUUGAAAUAUGGCUAUCCUAUCCUGAGCUCAAGGUAAUUAAUUUGUUAAUUCUUUCAACUUAUAAAUCCAGCUUUCUUUUUCAUUACUUUAUUAUUAUUAAUUUUUUUAGUUUAUGCAAUUAAUUCAUGAGUGAUGCUACACAUCCCAAAUUUUUUAUCCCAAUAAGUUAUCCCAAAUGAUGUGUCAUUUAUCAAUUGGUUGGUGAAAUAAUACAAUUAAUUCACUUGAAUUUUAUAAAGAAUUAUCAACCACUCAAUUAAUGACACAUCAUUUGGGAUAACUUUUUAAGAUAAAAAAUUUGGGAUGUGUAGCAUUACUGUUAAUUCAUAUUCACACUCAAUUUACAGGAGGAAGAAUUUUCCAAAGAUGUUGGCAGAGGACAAUAUCAAGAUGGUGCUAUAUUCAUGACGACAGUGCUAAAUUGCUAGGACCAGAUCCAAAUGCAGUGGCACGUGGGGUAGUGGCUCGACCGGGUUAGCCCAAAAAAUAAUUCAAUAUCCCUUAAAUUUUAUGGUAUUUUUAUUUUUAAAUCUUUUUCUUUCGUGUCCUUAAAUCAAUCUUUAUUAAAAUAACUUAAAUAUAUUUAUAGUUAAGUUAUUCUGGUUUGGACCCUUUAAAAUUCAAUAUUAAAAUAGUAAUUUGUCUUUUUACCAACUUUCUUUUGAGCAAGUUUCUUGAUGUUGCAAUGUCUUUUGAAUUGUUUUUUUUUUUUGGUUACGUUCACACAGAUAAAUACAAUAAAUUCAUAAUCUAACCCUUCCUGGUCAAAAGACUAUCUUGACGAUCCUAAAUAUGAUUACAAAUAUAUGACAGCGUCCGAUGUUGUAGUAUAGUGAAAAUUACCAUUUAGGACAAUGCUUUGCACCCGCCUUGAGGAUUUUUCUCUGAGUUCGUAUUUGUUGGUCCGAUAACAAAUUCUUCGUUGUAGGAAGCAACUAUUUGGUUUUCCGGCUGCAGCCACAAGGUUAUGAUUGUAACUUUUUUUUUUAAAUAACAAAGAAUUCUAUUGUCAAGCUAUUGUUCAUCACCGUUGAGGUUUUUGAUGGGUGUUGUUGUUCAGGCUGAGCUGGUCUUUCUAAAAAGAAAAUUGUUUUUUUUUUCAUAAAAUAAAGAUAUUAUUCAUAAACGGUUUCUUACUUACCGCUUUUUUUUUUUUUUGGUUAGCCUCCUUAAAGGCAAUCUUUAUGUCUUGAAAUUUAUAUGAAUUUAAGCAAAUCUUAAUUAAAAAAGAGAGUUAGUAAUGAAUAAAUUUGCAAUUUUGGAAGAAAUUAAAUAUAAAAAUUUCAUUGUUAAAUGCAUUCCGUGGAUUCUUCGUUUUCUUGGAUGGGAAUCGAGGAUAGUAGAAUUUUUUAAAUAUUCUUAGGCUAAAGCCAUAUUGAUAAUAUUUCAUUUUUUUGUUUUAAGAUUUCUUUAGUAUACACCAACUUAAAAUUAAAAUUAAAAAAAAUUUCAACUUGUCACUAGCUAAUUCAAAAAAAAUUAUGUUUAUUAGUAUAAAUUUUAUCCCAAAUUAUCAGAUAAUGAUUUCAACCUAGGAUGGCCUCUUAAAACUUGCUUGAGCUUCCUUUUUAUUGGAUGAACUCCCGAUGUGGACUUCUCAUGUUGUGCCUUUCAUUUUCAAGUUUAAUUUUGCUCAGUUGAAAUUUCUUCAAAGAGAUGUCCACUUAUUUAGUGAUGAAAAUGAUCUUGAUAAGAUAAUGCCCUACAAACAUAAGAAAAACAGUCAAAGGGCCAGCUUUAAGGACGUAGACACUCUAGCGAUCAAGUUAAUCAUUGAAUUUUUAAAAAUCUAAAGUUCAUAGUGUGAAAAUUUAGAGAAAUAAAGCCUAGAGAGAGAAAGUCUUCUCUAGCCACUCUUCCCCAAGAUCUUUUUGUCUAAGGUCACUUUCUUCCAAGCAGUCCCUAUACCUCUCUAGAGGAGCCAGAAUAAACUUCAUCGUCACUAGGAUUUCUUGAGUUCUCCCUUUCCUCAACUUGAGCUUGGAACUAAUAAAAAAUUCUAUCAAAGUUCGAAGCUAAUGAAUCCACUUUACUUUGGAUCAAGCUUGCCCUUGUCGUUAGGCAUCAUGAUGUGGAUUAGGAAAAGGAUGAACGAGUACCAUGGCUUCAAAUGAUGAAUCCAUCAGUGGUCUUCUUCGUUGAAAAUAGGCUUCCUUAACCCUAGAACUCAAAGAUUCAAACACAGGGUCAUGAUACUCGUAGCUCAAAUCCAUGCUCACAGUUCCAAGACUUUUAGUCGGGAGUUCUCGUAGACAACGCCAAUUUUGUUGAUAAAAAUUUUGUCCCAAUUUAUAAAAUGGCAAUUUCAUGAGCUUCCUCUUUACUGGAUCAAACUAUGUUGAACUCUCAAUGUGGGCUUCUUAUGUUGUGCCUUUCAUUUUCAAAUUCAAUUGUACUCAUUUAAAUUUUCUCUUAAGAGUUACCUGCUUCCUUAUGUGACGAGGAUGACCUUAAUUAGAUAAUGCUCUAUAAAUAUAAGUAAAAUAGUCAAAGGCUUGCCUCACCAGCGUAAACCCUUUGAUGAUCAAGUCGAUCACCAAAUUUUUAGAGAGAAAAGUUUAGAGUGAGAAAAUUUGGAGAUAUUAUGCCUAGAUAGAGAGAGUCACUAUUUAUCCUCUUGAGUGAUUUUUGGCUUAUCUUUGAAAAAAGAUGGGAACUUAUAUUUGUAAAUGACUUUGAUUUGACUUGAGUCCUUAUUGUAUUGACGACAAAUGUCAUUGUCUUUAUAACACCAGGCAACACUUGUCUUCUUGCGACCAUGCCAUGUAACACUUGGACAUACAACUUUGUCCUCAUAUCAAAAGAGGAAGUUUCUCCAUCCUUUUUGUUUGGUAGAGGAUAUGGUAUCAUUAUGCUUAGUUUUCAAAGGAAGAGAUGUUUUUAUCAUAGGUUUUCAACCUAGAAGUUUGUCUAAGGAGGUUUAUCUUUAGGAAAUUUGUCCUAAGAAGUUUUUUUCUAGAUAAAUUGUCCUAUGAUCAUGGGAUCUUAAGAACCUAAGAGUUUAUUCUAGGUAGCAUGUCUCCUAAAACCUAUAAGACUUAUCUUAAGAGGUUUUUCCCAUAAUCUAGGAAUCUAAAAGGUUUAUUUUGUUUCCUCUUAAUUAGUUGGUAAAACUAUAAAUGAAAGAGCGAGACAGAGAACAUUGAAGCAAAACCAUCCAUCCAAUUACACCAACAGAACAAGAACCUUUCAUUGUUAAAAUGUGAGUUGCUAGUGUUAUAUAUAUAUAUAUAUAUAUCUUCACUUUUAAUUCAUUCAACGUAUAAGAAUAUAAUAGUGAGUCUAUCACGAACAAUUACACAAAUAUUUGGAUUAAUGUACAGAUAACCCAUUGCAGUCAACAGAUAAACAAUCAUUGAUUUCUUAUUCUAAUGUGUUGUGAAUAGUAUCAGUAUACUAAAGAAUCAUGUAAUGAUACAGUCUUUUAAUGUCGUACACGAUCAAUUCAAACGUCGCCAGGAAAAUUUUAUUCUUGCUAGUUAAAUUAUAAAUUUGCUUCCAUAAGACUAAUUAAAUACAUUAAAUUUAGGUUCAAAAAACAACCAGCAAUGUAACAGAUCAACGAUAGAAAAUCAUUUACGGUCUCUUAUUUGCCAAAUCUGAUCCUUGUAGACAUAAAAUCUGAAAGACAACCAACACAGCAACACAAACAAAGCCAAAUGAACACAAGCCACCACAGAGGGUGGUGGGAACAGUCGCCAUAUCCGUGGAACAAAAAAUCCACAGAUCUAUGGAUAUAUUGAAUUAUACCACUAAGUCAUUUUACAUAAUUAUACUCAAAAGGUAAAAAUAUUCUCCACUUUAUUGUCAAUUUUCAUAACAAAGUUGAAUAAUAAAUCGAAUUUUGGUUUGUAGGCUUAUAAUUCAAUAGUGCUUACAAAUAUAAUAUAAAACUUAUGAAUCAAUAUUAAGUGUAAAAUAAAAAUAAAAUAUAUAAAUAAAAUAUAGGACCUGUAAAUAGAAGGUAAACAUGUAAAUUAAUAUAAGAAUUAUUGAAAAAAAUAAAAACUUAAAAAUGUAAGAUCAAACCUCAUUUUAAUAAUGAUUACCUUAUACAUUUGUUGAUUUAUUUUUUUUUAAACUGAAUAAUGAUAGUUUUGGGUUUAUGUAAUAUAUAUGAUGAUAUAUGUCGAAAUUUUAUUAAGGAUAAAACUUAAUUUUAAAAUCGGAUUUUGAAAAACUCUUCUUUUCAUAUUUUUCAAAGUUGCUCGUAGGAUAAGGUGAUUUUUCAUCAUUUUAAAUAUUCUUGAUAACAACCACAAAUGAUCUUUAAAUACAAGUAAGAAGCAAAUUUUAAAAUUACAUAAAAUAUAUAUAAAACAUAAAAUUAGAUACAAUUUUAUUGAUAAUAUUGAAAAAUGCACUCUCAGAAUUUCAAAGAAUUAUGAAUGAUAUUUAUAAUUCUUUUUUUGAAUUUUGCAUUGUUUAUAUCGAUGAUGUGCUGAUUUUUUCUCAAUCAAUUGAGCAACAUUUCAAACAUUUAAAGACUUUUUAUUUGGCAACUAGAAAAGCUGGCCUAGCCAUUUCUAGUUCUAAAGUUUCUUUAUUCCAAACUAAAGUCAGGUUUCUUGGUCACUACAUCUCAAAAGGAACCAUUACUCCCAUUGAAAGGUCCCUUGCUUUUACUGACAAGUUUCCUGAUAAAAUCCUUGAUAAAACCCAAUUGCAGAGAUUUUUGGGUAGUCUAAAUUAUGUUCUUGAUUUCUGUCCUAACAUCAAUAGGAUUGCCAAGCCACUGCAUGAUAGGUUAAAGAAAAAUCAUGUUGCAUGGUCGGAAGAACAUACUAAAAUUGUUAAACAAAUAAAGAACACAAUUAAAAACAUUCCAUGUUUAUUUCUUGCAAAUCCUGCAUUACCUAAGAUUGUUGAAACUGAUGCAUCCAAUUUAGGUUAUGGUGGGAUAUUAAAGCAAGUCGACAAUAACAAAGAACAAAUAGUACAAUAUGUUUCUGCACAUUGGAAUGAAUGCCAGCAAAACUAUUCUACUAUUAAAAAAGAAAUUUUAUCAAUUGUCCUAUGCAUUUCCAAAUUUCAAAGCGAUUUAUUAAAUCAAAAAUUUUUGCUUAGAAUUGACUGCAAGGCUGCAAAACAUGUUUUGGAAAAAGAUGUACAGAACAUUGCAUCAAAACAGAUUUUUGCACGUUGGCAAGCUAUUUUAAGUAUUUUUGAUUUUGAGAUUGUGUUUAUUAAAGGCGACACAAAUUCUCUCCCUGAUUUUCUAACUAGGGAAUUUCUUCAAAACAGAUAAUGCCGCCCAAAAGAAGAGAUAAAGGGAAAGGGAUCUUCACAGACCCUGUGUCCCAAACUCCAUCUAAAGCCUCCCAAUCUUCUCCACCUAAAGAAAAAUUACUUUCUUCUGCUAUGCCAAUUAAGUCUUGGAUUGACACAAUAGAAGAACAAGCUGCUCAAGAAGCCCAGUCUAAAGCACUUGCCUCCCAGGAGCAGAUAAAUGAAUGGAUGAAAUCCAUUUCUAAAUCCCCUGAGCUUAUGCUUGCCUUACAAAGCUUUUCUCAAAGUCAGAUUUCUCCUAAAGAAGAAAAAUCCAUUUCUAAAGAAAUUUCUAAAGCUUCUUCACAAAAUGUGAUUCUUUCUGGUGAAAGUUCAUCUUCUCAGAUUGUUCUUUCACAAACAAAGCUUACAAAGAAAACUUCGGAUUAGUUUAAUAAAACCCAUUUCCAAAAUAUUUUAUCCAUGGAAGACUAAUUUUAUCAUACUGAUCCAUUUCAAGCAAUUUUAAAGAUUUUCCCCAAAGGUUGGUUUUUCAAACCAUGGGAUUUAUCCAAAUCCCAGCCUUAUUAUCAAAGCAUUUUGGAAUUCACUGAAUCACUAAAAUUCAAACAUUUCUUCCUUAGUGAGUCCCAUUCUGAGCCUGCCUAUUCUACGGCAACCAUUAUAAAAGUUUUGAGCCCAAAACAAUGGGGUGAUCUACUCCACAAAUCUAAAGCUUUUCCUCUAAAUUUUCAAAACAAUAUGAACCAUAGCCUAUCUUUCUCCUAUUGGGAUUACCAACAGGCUUGGUUUAAUACCUUUUUCAUACAAAACCCCAAAAAGACCCAUUCAUGGUUAUUUUUCUUCAAUUCUAAAAUAACUGUGCAAAGCCUACCAAACUGAUUUCAACAGUGGUGGAAUUAUUUCGAGCCAUGCCCAGACAUUCUCACUUCAAAUGCCAUUCACUGUUUAAAUCUCUUCAAAGCCCAUCAUGUCCCUUCAGAAUCCGAGAAAAGGUUUCCUCUGUUUCUCUAUUUUUGUACAAAUUUAUUUCUUCCCUGGGUUUGGAUGUGGAACUUUUGAUAUCACACCCAAGAAGCCCAACUCAUCCUACAAAGAACUUUCAAAGUAAAAUGGUGGUCCAAAUUUGACGAAUAGUCAAAAUUGACUGAAGCCAUCGUCCAAAAAUGGCUUUCCUCAAAAGGCCUUCUAACCCCAAGUAUUAAAGAAGUUAAAGCCCAAGGAACUUUCUUAACUCAAAAAUCCAAAGCCCAAUCUCUUUUGGCCAAUGCCAAAACAGAAGACGAGUAUUUUAAAGUCAUGCAACAGCUCCUCGUGUCCAGAUCAGAGCCUUCUGUCGCCAGCUCAUCUGAUCAUGACAGUGCCGAGCCUUUCAUUUCCCUUGGAGACGACAACGAAGAUGACUGCUUCGGAAUCUUCCCUCCAAUAAAGCAUUAAAGCUUAUGAAAAAAAAAGAAAAAAAAGAGUCAUUUUGUUGUAAUUUCUCUGCAAUUUAUAAAUUUGUUCUAAUUUCUCUGUAAUUUAUAUUUUGUAAAUUUGAAUUAGAGUCAGAAGACUCAACAAGCAAAGGAGUUAUUUUGGAAAGGACUUCUUCAUCAAGAUUAAUCUCUUGAAGUCUCCUAUUUAUCCUGCAGUAUUUUACAGUGUGUCCUUUCUUGCCACAUUUAAAACAUGUAGCUUCUUUAUAAUUGAAAGAGGUUUUUGGAUUAGAAGAGGAAGAGGGUUUAGUUUUAAAAUCCUUUCUUUUAGAGAAAUGAGACUUUUUAUAAGGUCUCGAGGACUUCUUAUAAAAAGGUUAUCUAAAAUCUGAUAAGGGCUUUCUAAGAGUUUUAGACUUUAAAUGUUUUUUGUAAGGUCUGGAGGAACACUUACCAUUACAGUCUUUUGAAGUGGAAGACUAAACAUCAAAUCCAAAGUUGGUACAGAUCUGUUGGUACGCGGCGUUGUUCUACCAGAUCGAUGUAGAACUUAAUAUGCCUUUGGAACCAGAUCUGACUCAGAACAGAUCAAUAUCCCGCACGUUCUGGUUUCCAGCCUAUAUACCAACAAGCAUACAGGGGCUCAUGGAUAGUACUAGAUCUGGAUCCCAGAAAUAACACUCUGAUUGAAUGGAGGGAGAAGAGAAAUGGUGGUCCAAAUUCCCAAUUGUAAGGAAGAUCUGGUUCUAAGUCAGAUCUGGUUCCAAAGGCAGAUUAAGUUCUGCAUCGAUCUAGUAGAACAACGCCAUGUACCAACAGAUCUAUACCAACUUUGGAUUUGAUGUUUAGUCUUCCACUUCAAAAGACUGUAAUGGUAAGUGUUCCUCCAGACCUUACAAAAAACAUUUAAAGUCUAAAACUCUUAGAAAGCCCUUAUCAGAUUUUAGAUAACCUUUUUAUAAGAAGUCCUCGAGACCUUAUAAAAAGUCUCAUUUCUCUAAAAGAAAGGAUUUUAAAACUAAACCCUCUUCCUCUUCUAAUCCAAAAACCUCUUUCAAUUAUAAAGAAGCUACAUGUUUUAAAUGUGGCAAGAAAGGACACACUGUAAAAUACUGCAGGAUAAAUAGGAGACUUCAAGAGAUUAAUCUUGAUGAAGAAGUCCUUUCCAAAAUAACUCCUUUGCUUGUUGAGUCUUCUGACUCUAAUUCAAAUUUCUCCUUGAUAGGAGAUAGUGAUCCUUUACAAGUCGAUGAGUUGAUUGACUCAGAAACAUCUGUAUUAAGUGAUUCUGAUUCAGAAACCUUUUUAAAGAAGAUUAAUGUUUUGACCAAAGAACAAGAAACUUUUCUUGAACUUGUAAAACAUAUUUCAGACCCUAUCCUUCAAAAGGAAUACCUUGACAAACUUUUAAAGACUCUAUAAUUAAAAGACAAACCAGAAACCUCUAAAACUCCAAUCAUUAAAAAGAAUGCUUAUGAUCUUACGGAAAUUUUGGAUAAACAGAAAACAAAGAAAGCCACUCCAAACAUCCAAGAUCUCUAAAAGGAAAUUAAGUAAAUUAAACUUGAAAUCAAAGAAUUAAAAGAAAAAUAGAAAAAUGACUCAGAAACUAUCCAGCUUUUGUUACAAAAACAACUCGAAGACAAUUCUGAUCAAGAAUCAAACUCUGGUGAGGAAAAUGGACAACAACUUGAAAACAUCGAAUCAAUCCCUAAUGAUUUUCUUUUUGUUUUAAAAUAAAUCACCACUAGAAAAUAUUUGAUUAAAAUCACUUUAAAAUUUUCUAAAGAUUUCGAAAUUGACACCAUUGCUUUCUUUGACACUGGUGCUGAUUUAAACUGUAUCAAAGCAGAUAUUGUUCCAAAGAAAUUCCAUGAAAAGACUAAUGAAAGGCUUUCUGCAGCAAACAAUUCAAAGUUGAACAUCAAAUCCAAAGUUGAUGCCUCAAUUCAUAACGAUGGUUUUGAAUUUAGGACUUCAUUUCUUCUAACAAAUGAUAUUCAUCAUGCUGUUAUUCUAGGAACGCCUUUCAUAAACCUCAUUACUCCUUAUAAUGUCAAUUAUGAUAGUAUAUCUUUUAAAGCAAAAAAGAAAAAAUUAAUUUUUCCUUUUAUUGAAAAACCUAAAACUAGGAAUUUGAAUAUUGUUAAAGCCUGUUCUAUUUACCAGAACCAAAUAAAUGUUUUGCUCAAAACAAAACAAACUGAUUUAGCUUGUUUACAGAAGGAUUUGAGUUUACACAGAAUUGAAAACCAAUUAAAGAAUGAGUUCAUACAAAGAAAAAUUUCCGAUUUCAAAAAUCUUAUUGAGAAAGAAAUAUGUGCUGAUUUACCAAGUGAUUUUUGGAACCGGAAACAACAUUUGGUUGAUCUGCCUUAUGAAAAUUCUUUUGAUGAAAGACAAAUCCCUACAAAAGCCAUCCUAUUCAAAUGAAUAUGGAUCUAGAAAAAUAUUGUCAACAAAAAAUCAAAGAUUUAGAAUCUAAAGGACUCAUUGUCAAAUCUAGGUCUCCUUGGUCUUGUGCCGCUUUCUAUGUCAAUAAAAAUUCUGAAAUAGAAAGAGGAACUCCUAGAUUGGUGAUAAAUUAUAAACCUCUUAAUAAAGCAUUAAAAUGGAUUAGGUAUCCUAUACCUAAUAAAAAAGAUUUGCUUCAAAAACUACAUUUUGCAUUCAUAUUUUUCAAAUUUGAUAUGAAAUCUGGUUUUUGGCAAAUCCAAAUUCAUCCUAAAGAUCGUUACAAAACUACUUUUACUGUUCCAUUUGGACAGUACGAAUGGACAGUAAUGCCUUUUGGUUUGAUAAGAUUGUGUUUGAUAAGUGUUCCUCCAGACCUUACAAAAAACAUUUCUAGUCAGCUUCUGUUUUGGCAUUUGGAUUUUAAUGCUCUGAUACCAUAAUGACCUAGCGAUCGUGGAGUGUGUGUCGUGUUCAAAAUUAAAUCCAAAUUAAAAAAAAAUAGAUCUGUUGGUACGUGGCGUUGUUCUACCAGAUCGAUGCAGAACUUAAUCUGCCUUUGUAACCAGAUCUGACUUAGAAAAGAAUGACCCAGCGAUCGUGGAGUGUGUGUCGUGUUUAAAAUUAAAUCCAAAUUAAAAACAAACAGAUCUGUUGGUACGUGGCGUUGUUCUACCAGAUCAAUGCAGAACUUAAUCUGCCUUUGGAACCAGAUCUGACUUAGAACAGAUCAAUAUAGAUAUACCAACAAGCAUACAGGGGCUCAUAGAUAGUACUAGAUAUGGAUCCCAGAAAUAGCACUCUGAUUGAAUGGAGGGAGAAGAGCAAAUACAACUAAGGGCAAAGAUCCGCUCUCUAUGCCUUAGAGGAGAACGUAGCAGUUUUUAUGGUAGGAUUCUGAUAUAGAAGAUCAGCCUGCAGAGCAUGCUUUGAAAUACAAAAUUUAAAAAUGGAAACUUUAAAUUGAACUACAAAUUAAAUUACAAAUUCUUUAAAAUAAAUAUUAUCGAAUGCUUACAUGAGAUUUUUCGAUCCGAAGGCUUUACAAACGGGAAGAUGUUUUACAAAAGAAGAAAGGAAAAUCAGAAGACAGGAAAUUUUUCCUCUAUGUCUUCAGUUCAUCUUUUCCUUUUGAGAGAGAGAGCUAAUAGAAUUCUUCGAAUGGAAAAGAAAAAAGUGAUGAGUCUUAGUCUUCAUUCACUCUUUUAUACAAGAUUGCUUUACAAAAGAAAAUCGAUAAUUGGUCUUCACAUGCGGAUGGCUUUUUCUCUCACUUUUUUCUAUAGCUUUACAUGCGGAGACAGCAUAAAUUGCUUUUGAAGAUGCUUCACGUGAGUGGGUCCUUGGACUUUUGCAAAAGGUCAUCACGAGGAGCGGAUGCUUUAAGGGGCAAUAGAUAUACCUUUUGAAAACAUGGCACAUGUGCGGCUACACUUGUGUCUCGAAAGACGUUUUCAAAAGAUAUGGUGAUCAGUUGCUGGUAGGAUUCUUUUGUUGACUUUUGAACGAGGUAAUAAAGGCUUUAAAGAAAAUACAAGGAGUAAAUAAGAAUUACAGAGGAUUACAACAAAUUUACAAAAUAUAAAUUACAGAGUAAUUAGAACAAAUUUAUAAAUUACAGAGAAAUGACAACAAAAUGACUUUUUUUUUCUUUUUUUUUUCACAAGCUUUAAUGCUUUAUUGGAGGGAAGAUUCCGAAGCGGUCAUCUUCAUUGUCGUCUCCAAGGGAAAUGAAAGGCUCGGCACUGUCAUGAUCAGAUGAGCUGGCGACAUAAGGCUCUGAUCUGGACGCGAGGAGCUGUUGCAUGACUUUAAAAUACUCGUCUUUUGUUUUGGCAUUGGCCAAAAGAGAUUGGGCUUUAGAUUUUUUAGUUAAGAAAGUUCCUUGGGCUUUAACUUCUUUAAUACUUGGGGUUAGAAGGCCUUUUGAGGAAAGCCAUUUUUGGAUGAUGGCUUCAGUCAAUUUUGACUGUUCGUCAAAUUUGGACCACCAUUUUACUUUGAAAGUUCUUUGUAGGAUGAGUUGGGCUUCUUGGGUGUGAUAUCGAAAGUUCCACAUCCAAACCCAGGGAAGAAAGAAAUUUGUACAAAAACAGAGAAAGGGAGGAAACCUUUUCUCGAAUUCUGAAGGGACAUAAUGGGCUUUGAAGAGAUUUAAACAGUGAAUGGCAUUUGAAGUGAGAAUGUCUGGGCAUGGCCCGAAAUAAUUCUACCACUGUUGAAACCAAUUUGGUAGGCUUUGCACAGUUAUUUUAGAAUUGAAGAAAAAUAACCAUGAAUGGGUCUUUUUGGGGUUUUGUAUGAAAAAGGUAUUAAACCAAGCCUGUUGGUAAUCCCAAUAGGAGAAAGAUAGGCUAUGGUUCAUAUUGUUUUGAAAAUUUAGAGGAAAAGCUUUAGAUUUGUGGAGUAGAUCACCCCAUUGUUUUGGGCUCAAAACUUUUAUAAUGGUUGCCGUAGAAUAGGCAGGCUCAGAAUGGGACUCACUGAGAAAGAAAUGUUUGAAUUUUACUGAUUCAGUGAAUUCCAAAAUGCUUUGAUAAUAAGGUUGGGGUUUGGAUAAAUCCCAUGGUUUGAAAAACCAGCCUUUGGGGAAAAUCUUUAAAAUUACUUGAAAUGGAUCAGUAUGAUAAAAUUCAUUUUCCAUGGAUAAAAUAUUUUGGAAAUGAGUUUUAUUAAACCAAUCCGAAGUUUUCUUUGUAAGCUUUGUUUGUGAAAGAACAAUUUGAGAAGAUGAACUUUCACCAGAAAGAAUCACAUUUUGUGAAGAAUCUUUAGAAAUUUCUUUAGAAAUGGAUUUUUCUUCUUUAGGAGAAAUCUGACUUUGAGAAAAGCUUUGUAAGGCAAGUAUAAGCUCAGAGGAUUUAGAAAUGGAUUUCAUCCAAUCAUUUACCUGCUCCUGGGAGGCAAGUGCUUUAGACUGGGCUUCUUGAGCAGCUUGUUCUUCUAUUGUGUCAAUCCAAGACUUAAUGGGCAUAGCAGAAGAAAGCAAUUUUCCUUUAGGUGGAGAAGAUUGGGAGGCUUUAGAUGGUGUUUGGGACACAGGGUUUGUGAGGAUCCUUUUCCCUUUCUCUCUUCUUUUGGGCGGCUUUAUCUGGUUUGAAAAAAUUCCCUGGUUAGAAAAUCAGGGAGAGAAUUUGUAUCGCCUUUAAUAAACACAAUCUCAAAAUCAAAAAUACUUAAAAUAGCUUGCUAACAUGCAAAAAUCUGUUUUGAUGCAAUGUUCUAUCCAUCUUUUUCCAAAACAUGUUUUGCAGCCUUGCAGUCAAUUCUAAGCAAAAAUUUUUGAUUUAAUAAAUCGCUUUGAAAUUUGGAAAUGCAUAGGACAAUUGAUAAAAUAUCUUUUUUAAUAGUAGAAUAGUUUUGCUGGCAUUCAUUCCAAUGUGCAGAAAUAUAUUGUACUAUUUGUUCUUUGUUAUUGUCGACUUGCUUUAAUAUCCCACCAUAACCUAAAUUGGAUGCAUCAGUUUCAACAAUCUUAGGUAAUGCAGGAUUUGCAAGAAAUAAACAUGGAAUGUUUUUAACUGUGUUCUUUAUUUGUUUAACAAUUUUAGUAUGUUCUUCUAACCAUGCAACAAGGUUUUUCUUUAACCUAUCAUGCAGUGGCUUGGCAAUCCUAUUGAUGUUAGGAUAGAAAUCAAGAACAUAAUUUAGACUACUCAAAAACUCUACAAUUGAGUUUCAUCAAGGAUUUUAUCAGGAAACUUGUCAAUAAAAGCAAUAGACCUUUCAAUGGGAGUAAUGGGUCCUUUUGAGAUGUAGUGACCAAGAAACCUGACUUUAGUUUGGAAUAAAGAAACUUUAGAACUAGAAAUGGCUAGGCCAGCUUUUCUAGUUGCCAAAUAAAAAGUCUUUAAAUGUUUGAAAUGUUGCUCAAUUGAUUGAGAAAAAAUCAGCACAUCAUCGAUAUAAACAAUGCAAAAUUCAGAAAAAGGAUUAUAAAUAUCAUUCAUAAUUCUUUGAAAUUCGGAGGGUGCAUUUUUCAAACCAAAAGGCAUUACUGUCCAUUCGUAUUGUCCAAAUGUAACAGUGAAAGCAGUUUUGUAACGAUCUUUAGGAUGAAUUUGGAUUUGCCAAAAACCAGAUUUCAUAUCAAAUUUGGAAAAUAUGAAUGUAGAAUUUAGUUUUUGAAGCAAAUCUUUUUUAUUAGGUAUAAGAUACCUAAUCCAUUUUAAUGCUUUAUUAAGAGGUUUAUAAUUUAUCACCAAUCUUAGGGUUCCUCUUUCUAUUUCAGAAUUUUUAUUGACAUAGAAAGCGGCACAAGACCAAGGAGACCUAGAUUUGACAAUGAGUCCUUUAGAUUCUAAAUCUUUGAUUUCUUGUUGACAAUGUUUUUCUAGAUCCAUAUUCAUUUGAAUAGGACGGGCUUUUGUAGGGAUUUGUCUUUCAUCAAAAGAAUUUUCAUAAGGCAAAUCAACCAAAUGUUGUUUUCGGUUCCAAAAAGCACUUGGUAAAUUAGCACAUAUUUCUUUCUCAAUAAGAUUUUUGAAAUCAGAAAUUUUUCUUUGUAUGAACUCAUUCUUUAAUUGGUUUUCAAUUCUGUGUAAACUCAAAUCCUUCUAUAAACAAGCUAAAUCAGUUUGUUUUGUUUUGAGCAAAACAUUUAUUUGGUUCUGGUACACAGAACAGGCUUUAACAAUAUUCAAAUUCCUAGUUUUAGGUUUUUCAAUAAAAGGAAAAAUUAAUUUUUUUCUUUUUUGCUUUAAAAGAUAUACUAUCGUAAUUGACAGUAUAAGGAGUAAUGAGGUUUAUGAAAGGAGUUCCUAGAAUAACAGCAUGAUGAAUAUCAUUUGUCAGAAGAAAGAAAGUCCUAAAUUCAAAACCAUCGUUAUGAAUUGAGACAUCAACUUUGGAUUUGAUGUUCAACUUUGAAUUGUUUGCUGCAGAAAGCCUUUCAUUAGUCUUUUCAUGGAAUUUCUUUGUAACAAUAUCUGCUUUGAUACAGUUUAAAUCAGCACCAGUGUCAAAGAGAGCAAUGGUGUCAAUUUCGAAAUCUUUAGAAAAUUUUAAAGUGAUUUUAAUCAAAUAUUUUCUAGUGGUGAUUUGUUUUAAAACAAAAAGACAAUCAUUGGGGAUUGAUUCGAUGUUUUCAAGUUGUUGUCCAUUUUCCUCACCAGAGUUUGAUUCUUGAUCAGAAUUGUCUUCCAGUUGUUUUUGUAACAAAAGCUAGAUAGUUUCUGAGUUAUUUUUCUGUUUGUCUUUUAAUUCUUUGAUUUCAAGUUUAAUUUCCUUAAUUUCCUUUUGGAGAUCUUGGAUGUUUGGAGUGACUUUCUUUGUUUUCUGUUUAUCCAAAAUUUCCGUUAGAUCAUAAGCAUUCUUUUUAAUGAUUGGAGUUUUAGAGGUUUCUGGUUUGUCUUUUAAUUCUAGAGUCUUUAAAAGUUUGUCAAGGUAUUCCUUUUGAAGGAUAGGGUCUGAAGUAUGUUUUACAAGUUCAAGAAAAGUUUCUUGUUCUUUGGUCAAAACAUUAAUCUUCUUUAAAAAGGUUUCUGAAUCAGAAUCACUUGAUACAGAUGUUUCUGAGUCAAUCAACUCAUCGACUUGUAAAGGAUCACUGUCUCCUGUCAAGGAGAAAUUUGAAUUAGAGUUAGAAGACUCAACAAGCAAAGGAGUUAUUUUGGAAAGGACUUCUUCAUCAAGAUUAAUCUCUUGAAGUCUCCUAUUUAUCCUGCAGUAUUUUGUAGUGUGUCCUUUCUUGCCACAUUUAAAACAUGCAGCUUCUUUAUAAUUGAAAGAGGUUUUUGGAUUAGAAAAGGAAGAGGGUUUAGUUUUAAAUCCUUUCUUUUAGAGAAAUGAGACUUUUUAUAAGGUCUCGAGGACUUCUUAUAAAAAGGUUCUCUAAAAUCUGGUAAGGGCUUUCUAAGAGUUUUAGACUUGUAAUGUUUUUUGUAAGGUCUGGAGGAACACUUACCAUGACAGUCUUUUGAAGUGGAAGUUUUAAAGGGGUCAUAAUUGAAUUGUUUACAGAAACUGCAUAAUUCUUGCUUAGACUUCCUAAGCUCCCAUUUUAGACGCUUCUGUAAUUUCAAAUCUUGACAGAUUUUUAAACCUUCUUUAUUGACAAAACUGACUAGUUCACCAUAGGUGAGUUCGUCAUAAGAAAUGCGGUUGUCAUGAAGAGCUUUAAUGGAGUUUCUGACUUUUCUCCUAAGAGAGUAGGUAAACAUGCAAGAAAUUUUUCCUUCCCAGUUACAUGAUUUGCAUCAUCCCUUAAGAAAAGUCUAGUAAAGAAAGUGGUUUUAUAAUUCUGGAAUUCACUAAGUUUCCUACAUCUCAAAUUAUAUAGUAACUCAGCGUUUUUAUCUCUUAGGAGAGAAUGAUCACCUAUGAAAUGAAGAGAUAUGGUAAGAAUCAGGGUAGCAACAACAUCCUGAAUUGGGCUAUUGAUUUCAUCAAGGAUGGGUGUUCCAUCCUCUUCAGUUUGGAUUGAAUUUAGAAUGUCGAGUUGUUGCUGUUUUGUGAAAAGAUGAUCCCACCAUCCUUUAAGUUGACCAGUAAAACCAGAAAUAAGAAUCUCUGCAAUGGCUUUGUCAGAGGUUCCUUGUUGAGUUUUAUAUGUAUUGGCUGCCAUGGUCAUCUGUUGCAGUAAUCCUAAGACAUUAUAUUCAGACAUACCAUCAAUAUUCCAUUCAUAGACAGAGGAUGCAUUGAAACGAGAUUGGUUUAAUGCACUUGGUCUAUUAUCGAUGGCAAGAUCUGGAGGAGAGCUUAUAGUUGGGAGAGCAAGUUCCCAAUGGAUUUUAUUAACUUUAGGGAUAGACUCAUCUUUGAAGGCUUCUAUGUCAGAAGAGGUUAUAGAAGAUUAAUCUUGUUCUAGUACACCAAUCUUGCUAGAUUGGGCACUAUCAGGAGCAAUUUGGACUUUAGAAGUAGAAGCAAAAGAAGAUGCUUCUAUACGAUCAAGUUGCUCUUUAAUAGAUUUAGCAAAAUCUGAUUUGGAUUCUUGAACAAGCUUUUGGCUAAGUUUCGAAACCUGAAAAGGUUUGAAAAUAGGUUCUUUAAGCUUUUUCAAGGAGUCAGACUUUGAUGGAGUAGUAAAAGGGACAAUAACGAUUGACUUCUGGAAUUGACUAUCUAUUCGGGUCAACUAUUUUUCGAUUGUAUUUAGAUUAGCAUUGCAGAAAUUAUUCUGUUGGAUAAUGCUAUCUAAAUUCUUCUCUAUAUCAUUAGGUUUUUGGAUUAAUCUUGAUGAAGACGUCCUUUCCAAAAUAACUCAUUUGCUUGUUGAGUCUUCUAACUCUAAUUCAAAUUUCUCCUUGUCAGGAGACAGUGAUCCUUUACAAGUCGAUGAGUUGAUUGACUCAGAAACAUCUGUAUCAAGUGAUUCUGAUUCAGAAACCUUUUUAAAGAAGAUUAAUGUUUUGACCAAAGAACAAGAAACUUUUCUUGAACUUGUAAAACAUAUUUCAGACCCUAUCCUUCAAAAGGAAUACCUUGACAAACUUUUAAAGACUCUAGAAUUAAAAGACAAACCAGAAACCUCUAAAACUCCAAUCAUUAAAAAGAAUGCUUAUGAUCUUACAGAAAUUUUGGAUAAACAGAAAACAAAGAAAGCCACUCCAAACAUCCAAGAUCUCUAAAAGAAAAUUAAGUAAAUUAAACUUGAAAUCAAAGAAUUAAAAGAAAAACAGAAAAAUGACUCAGAAACUAUCCAGCUUUUGUUUCAAAAACAAUUGGAAGACAAUUCUGAUCAAGAAUCAAACUCUGGUGAGGAAAAUGGACAACAACUUGAAAACAUCGAAUCAAUCCCCAAUGAUUUUCUUUUUGUUUUAAAACAAAUCACCACUAGAAAAUAUUUGAUUAAAAUCACUUUAAAAUUUUCUAAAGAUUUCGAAAUUGACACCAUUGCUCUCUUUGACACUGGUGCUGAUUUAAACUGUAUCAAAACAGAUAUUGUUCCAAAGAAAUUCCAUGAAAAGACUAAUGAAAGGCUUUCUGCAGCAAACAAUUCAAAGUUGAACAUCAAAUCCAAAGUUGAUGCCUCAAUUCAUAACGAUGGUUUUGAAUUUAGGACUUCCUUUCUUCUAACAAAUGAUAUUCAUCAUGCUGUUAUUCUAGGAACUCCUUUCAUAAACCUCAUUACUCCCUAUACUGUCAAUUACGAUAGUAUAUCUUUUAAAGCAAAAAAGAAAAAAUUAAUUUUUCCUUUUAUUGAAAAACUUAAAACAAAGAAUUUGAAUAUUGUUAAAGCCUAUUCUAUUUACCAGAACCAAAUAAAUAUUUUGCUCAAAACAAAACAAACUGAUUUAGCUUGUUUACAGAAGGAUUUGAUGAAAGACAAAUCCCUAUAAAAGCCCAUCCUAUUCAAAUGAAUAUGGAUCUAGAAAAACAUUGUCAACAAGAAAUCAAAGAUUUAGAAUCUAAAGGACUCAUUGUCAAAUCUAGGUCUCCUUGGUCUUGUGCCGCUUUCUAUGUCAAUAAAAAUUCCGAAAUAGAAAAAGGAACCCCUAGAUUGGUGAUAAAUUAUAAACCUCUUAAUAAAGCAUUAAAAUGGAUUAGGUAUCCUAUACCUAAUAAAAAAGAUUUGCUUCAAAAACUACAUUCUGCAUUCAUAUUUUCCAAAUUUGAUAUGAAAUCUGAUUUUUGGCAAAUCCAAAUUCAUCCUAAAGAUCGUUACAAAAAUGCUUUCACUGUUCCAUUUGGACAGUAUGAAUGGACAGUAAUGCCUUUUGGUUUGAAAAAUGCACCCUCAGAAUUUCAAAGAAUUAGGAAUGAUAUUUAUAAUCCUUUUUCUGAAUUUUGCAUUGUUUAUAUCGAUGAUGUGCUGAUUUUUUCUUAAUCAAUUGAGCAACAUUUCAAACAUUUAAAGACUUUUUUUUUGGCAACUAGAAAAGCUAGCCUAGCCAUUUCUAGUUCUAAAGUUUCUUUAUUCCAAACUAAAGUCAGGUUUUUUGGUCACUACAUCUCAAAAGGAACCAUUACUCCCAUUGAAAGGUCCCUUGCUUUUACUGACAAGUUUCCUGAUAAAAUCCUUGAUAAAACCCAAUUGCAGAGAUUUUUGGGUAGUCUAAAUUAUGUUCUUGAUUUCUGUCCUAACAUCAAUAGGAUUGUCAAGCCACUGCAUGAUAGGUCAAAGAAAAACCUUGUUGCAUGGUCGGAAGAACAUACUAAAAUUGUUAAACAAAUAAAGAACACAGUUAAAAAUAUUCCAUGUUUAUUUCUUACAAAUCCUGCAUUACCUAAGAUUGUUGAACUGAUGCAUCCAAUUUAGGCUAUGGUGGGAUAUUAAAGCAAGUCGACAGUAACAAAGAACAAAUAGUACAAUAUAUUUAUGCACAUUGGAAUGAAUGCCAGCAAAACUAUUCUACUAUUAAAAAAGAAAUUUUAUCAAUUGUCCUAUGCAUUUCCAAAUUUCAAAGCGAUUUAUUAAAUAAAAAAUUUUUGCUUAAAAUUGACUGCAAGGCUGCAAAACAUAUUUUGGAAAAAGAUGUACAGAACAUUACAUCAAAACAGAUUUUUGCACGUUGGCAAGCUAUUUUAAAUAUUUUUGAUUUUGAGAUUGUGUUUAUUAAAGGCGAUACAAAUUCUCUCCCUGAUUUUCUAACCAGGGAAUUUCUUCAAAACAGAUAAUGCCGCCCAAAAGAAGAGAUAAAGUGAAAGGGAUCCUUACAGACCCGUGUCCCAAACACCAUCUAAAGCCUCCCAAUCUUCUCCACCUAAAGAAAAAUUACUUUCUUCUGCUAUGCCAAUUAAGUCUUGGAUUGACACAAUAGAAGAACAAGCUGCUCAAGAAGCCCAAUCUAAAGCACUUGGCUCCCAAGAGCAGGUAAAUGAAUGCAUGAAAUCCAUUUCUAAAUCCCCUGAGCUUAUGUUUGCCUUACAAAGCUUUUCUCAAAGUCAAAUUUCUCCUAAAGAAGAAAAUUCCAUUUCUAAAGAAAUUUCUAAAGCUUUUUCACAAAAUGUGAUUCUUUCUGGUGAAAGUUCAUCUUCUCAGAUUGUUCUUUCACAAACAAAGCUUACAAAGAAAACUUCGGAUUGGUUUAAUAAAACCCAUUUCCAAAAUAUUUUAUCCAUAGAAGACGGAUUUUAUCAUACUGAUCCAUUUCAAGCAAUUUUAAAGAUUUUUCCUAAAGGCUGGUUUUUCAAACCAUGAGAUUUAUCCAAACCCCAGCCUUAUUAUCAAAGCAUUUUGGAAUUCACUGAAUCAGUAAAAUUCAAACAUUUUUUCCUCAGUGAGUCCCAUUCUGAGCCUGCCUAUUCUACGGCAACCAUUAUAAAAAUUUUGAGCUCAAAACAAUGGGGUGAUCUACUCCACAAAUCUAAAGCUUUUCCUCUAAAUUUUCAAAACAAUAUGAACUAUAGCCUAUCUUUCUCCUAUUGGGAUUACCAACAGGCUUGGUUUAAUACCAUUUUGGAAAGGACUUCUUCAUCAAGAUUAAUCUCUUGAAGUCUCUCUAAAUUUUCAAAACAAUAUGAACCAUAGCCAUAUAUAUAUAUAUAUAUAUAUAUAUGAAUAUCUUUUUAUUUUGUUUUGACUUAAUGCAUUCAAGAAAAAUAAUUUGUUUAAUUAACCUCUGUAGUAAACAAUACUAUGAUAAAAAAUGAAAAAAAAAAUAAUGAAUGUCAUAGAAUGAAUAUAGAAUUUAUAGUUAAAUCAAUUCAAUAAAACUUAUUCUAAUUGCUUUCAAUACAAUUUUUUUAAUUGAUGACUCACUUUGUUCUUUAUUUAAUUAAAUUAAAUAAAUAAGCUAAUUUUAUUUAAUGAAAGAUUAAUAUUGAUUUCAAAGUUUUAUGUUAUUUUAUAAGUGUUUGUUUUGUUUGUAAUUUGAAAACACUAAUUUACCACUUAUAUAUUAAUAUACUAAUUUUAUCUUUUAUUUAAUAAUUUUAUAUGUAAUUUACAAAACUUAUAUUUAUCAUGAUAAUAAUGUCGUAAUUUUAAUCAUAGUAUCAUAGAAUUUUUCAAAUUUCAGAUAGUAUAUUUUUUGGUUAUUGUAAACAGUUUUUUAUAAAAAUUAAAUAGGGGCAUUAUAGUAUUAACGUACUUUUUAAUAUUUUGAUGUUAUUUGGAGCAGACAAGCUACGUUACAGACUGUAUGUAACAGCUCAGUACAAAUUGAUCUUGUAUCAGCUAACUUUUCCUCUCUCCUGCAACGCGUGGAUGCUCCCCAUUUGCUACGUUUCAGACUCUAUAAACAACAAAGUCAUCGACUUGCUGUUUUUCCAAGCAAUCACUCAGCAUCUUGCCACAUAUUUGAGUCAGAGCCCAAACGCCCGAUUUUCGUCCUUCAAUUGAAGGAUGAUUUUGUUUUGGAGCUCGGCGUGGCAAGAAUGCAUUAUCGGACUAUUAUUAACUAUCAUCAUUACAGAGCAGUACCUGAACCACGUGAUCUCCCACCACAAUUUUUUUAAUAAAAUAUAUAUUUAUUUCUUUUAAAAGAUCAAUAACACCCCGACUGUCUCAUAUUACAUAAUCAUACUCUAAAAAGGCCAAAAUAUCCUAAAUAAAAAAAAAUAUUCUCAACUUUAUUAUCAAUCUUCAGGGAUACUACUAUGUUACCACAGAGAUAACAUACCGCACUUUUUUGUCCUUUUAGAUUAAUUACACUAGAAUCCCUAUUUUAUGCUAAAAUUAGACAAAAAAUCCGAUAAUCUUAAAUUUUGACUCAUUAGUCCUACUUGUUUUGAUUUUUUGAAACUUAAAUCAAAAUGUGAGGGUAUUUUUUAAUUAUUAAUUCACACACCAUCAUCAAAGUUUUAAAAAGAAAAUUUACUCCAUACACCUACUUAAAUGUCAAAUAUAUCCUUGAUAAAACUAAUUUUAUAUUUUUACUAAAUUAAUUAAUUAAAAUGAUAUAAAAAAUGAUUGAAUUAUUUACAUGCCCACUAGUUUCAAUUCCAUAUCUCUAGCAAUUAGCAACUAAAUUUUAUCACUAACUCAAAAUUAUCGACCAUGAGAUGUGAAAAAAGGUUCUCAAAUACAUGUGGAGUAUAAAAUGACUUUGCCUUCAAAUUCUUUUAAAAGAUUCUAAACUUAUUUAUCAAGCUCGUAGAUGUAAGAAUAAACGACAAGAAAGUUGCCACCCUCCCUCACACUUUUUGAUACCUUCUUAUUAAACAAUAAAAAAUUAUUAAUUGGUAGAUUAAUAUAUUUUUAUUGCAUAUUGAAAUUAUUUACUAUAUAUUGAAUAAGUAUUAUGAAAAAAAUAUUAACUACAAAUUAAGAACAAGAGAUCAAAUUCAUACUCAUAUUUAUCAUAAAAUAUUGUUUGUAACUAAUACAUGGUUUUACUAUAUAUUAAACUAAUUAAUUAAUAAGAAAGAAUAUUAAUUUAAACAUAUUAAUUCAAAUAUAAGAAUAAAUUAAUUUAUUAGUGAAAUUAACUGGGUCAUUUGACACAAUAUAUUGUAUUGCAUUAGAUGCAUUAUAUUACAGUGUGUGUCAUUAAUGUGUAUUAAAUUGUAAUAUUUAUAUCAUUAUUUAGAUUGCUAUUAAUUUUAAUUUAAUAUUAUUCAAAUUUAUUAAUAUUUAAGAAUUUAUUAUUUUUAUAUUAAAUAUUUAAAAAUAUUUAAUUUUUAUAUACUAAUUUUUAUAAUAUAAUUAAAUAAUGUAGUAUUAUAUUAUAUUUUUAUCUUUAUAUAUUAUUUAAGUAUUUAUUGUUAGUUAUACUAAAUUUUUAAAUAAUAAUCAAUUUUAUUUAUUAAUUAUUAUAAUAUAAUUAAAUAAUAUUAUAUUAUGUUAUAAUUUUUUAUAUAAUAUUUAAGUACUUAUUAUUAGUUAUAUUAGCUUAUUAAAUAAUAAUCAAUUUUUACUUACUAAAUGUUAUAAUAUAAUUAAGUAAUACAUUAUUUAAUUAAAAUUAUAAUAUAAUUAAAAUGUUUUAAUAUUAUUGAAUAAUAAAUUGUAAAUUUAUGGACUUAUGUGUUAAUAUUUUAAACUUUGUUACUUUUGUAAUUUUGUAGCAAACAUUAGGGAGUAUAACAUUAAUAACCCAACAAAAACAUCUUAGCCAUUACCCUUGGUCUGAAUUAAAUCUAACGGUGGAUUAGGAAAAGACAAAAGAAUGUGGUAUGUUACGACCGUAGUAACACAGUUGGACCCCAAUCUUCAUAACAAAGUUGAAUAAUAAAUCAAGUGAUAUAAAAAAAUCGAGUAAAAUAAUAAUUCAAAAGUAUUAGCAUUUUAACUUAAAGGCUUGUAGUUCAAUAAUAUCUACAAGAGAAUGAGUUUGAGCCACGUAAAAUUUAUUAUAUUUAAAAAAUAGUAAAUUUAUCGAUUGUAUAUUUCUACAUACAGUAAAUAAUUUUUUUUAAAAAUUAAAUAUGGGCAUUUUAGCAUUAACUUAUUUUUAUAUUUUGAUGUUUUUUGGAGUUAUUGCAAUUGCGGCUUCGGGUGAUUCCUUUCAUUCGCUUGCUCUGUAGUAAUAGCUACUACCACGCAGAAUGGAACUGCGAGAAAUAGAAGAACAGGAAAACGAUGUCGUUUUACUGAAGAAGAAGAAGACGAAGAUGAAACUGUGAAAGAAGAGAAAUCGAGAGGAAAGAAAAGAACAACUCAAAGAAGAAGAAACUGAAGAAUUAUUGCAGGAUCCACUGGAGGCUUUUGGUGGAGACAUAAUGUUGAAGAUACUUCAAAACCUAAAGGCACGCAGCGUAGCACCGACUCUCCUUGUAUCCCGUGCUUGGAACGGCGUUGCUUCAAGCGACACGCUUUGGACUCCCAAGGUUCAUUUCCUUUCCUAUUCUUUUUUUUCCCAAUCUUUUUGCCUGGUAAAUGAAUUUAGGUUUGUUUCCUUUUUUAAAAUUAAUUAAUUAAUUUAGUGUUUUCUUCGGAGAAUAUGAGAAUUGGGUUUUUUUUUUAGUUUCACAAUUGGGUUUUUGUUUUAAGUAUUUUUGGUUGUUUGAAAUAAUCAUAUCAUGAAUACAAUUGAAUUUGAAUUUAAGCUUUUCAUGUGAUCAUCGAGUUUUAUGUUCCUAGUUUACAGGAAUUUGUAUUCAGCGCUGAGCUGAGGUUUUUGUUAAUCUUUUAGAAAGAUAAGAAUAUUAAAUUAAUUAAAUAUUCAUCUUAAAUUGUUAUCCAUGCAUGUGUGGUAGAUGUUUACGAAGAGAUGAGCACAGCUAAGCUCAGUACUGGAUCUAAAUCCAGCUUACAGGAUUUCUUGUCCGCCAGGAGCAUUAUAUGAAUACUCGACUUAUUGUUUGACUCAAUUUACUACUCGACUUGGCUUUCUUGACCAACUUGAAUUCGUCUGAGUAUUCUCGAUUUAAGCUGAAUAUUUUUUGUCUCGUAUCUAUUUGUCUUUGCUCACCCCUUAAGGGUAUAUCUAUGUAAAGUGACUUAGUUGGGGUAUAUUGUUGGUAUAUUUUAUUUUUUAAAAUCCUGGGCCCUAGGAAGCCCUUUCUUAUCAUUGAAACUAGACCGUGGCUAAAUUAUUGGUUUAUUUAAAGGAUUGGGGUAUAUUUUUAUAUAAAACCAAACUGAAUUGUGAAUGCCACUGCACGUUUUUACAGCCUUAUAGCCUAAAUUGCUUAUUCCUUCUGAUUGCAUGAUUUGGGAAGAAUUUUUUUUUUUUAACUUAACUUCAAUUAUUUUCUCUGCUUUAUUUGAAACCUAACCGGAAAGAAUAUCUACCUUUUUUUUUUUUUUUUUUUUCAGUUCUCCAGGUAACUUAAUCGGUCAUGCUUCUACUUUGAAGAGUAACUGAGUACGGAUAAUUUACUUGAGUUUCCAGCUGAUGGCAAUGCUGAAUCCUACAAAGAUAUGGCAAGAGAAAUAUUUGAGAGCUUAUUAACAGUACCGGCCAGGAACACGAUCCUGCAUAGCAACAUCAUAUGCCAAUGAACAGAAAAUGCGUCAAUCAAGUUCGUAGGGGAAAUACUUGAGAUAUGCCCAUCACUACAAACACAAGUUAAUGGCAAAGGUGAUACUCCACUUCACGUUGCGGCAAAAUUCGGCCAUUUUAAUAUAGCAGUUAGAAUUCACAAACCUUAAGCAUACAAUCUGUUUGGCUAGCAGGAAAGUGACGAAGGAAGAAAGAAAAACAAACUGAAUAAGAGAAUUUUAUUAAUCUCGAAUCACACACUUACAUUCAAGCUUUCAUCAACUUAUAUUGCUGAUUAACAGAAGUAACAACCUCUGUAACAGCUGUCAAAUAACUAUUGGUUAAGCUAAGCUAAACAAUAACAAUCUAACUAAUUUGUCCAACUCAGCUAUCCAGCUCAUCAAUCCUAGUCAAGUGAAUCUCAGCCAUUGAUAUGCUGCUGUUGAUUAAGCAUCUCAACACCCCUUCUCAAGCUUAAUGGUUGUGGAACAACAUUAAGCUUGUCUCUAUAGUAAUUAAAAAAAGAGUAAGCCAUAGGCUUUGUAAGCACAUCUGCAAUAUUCCACUCACUUGGUACAUACUUGAUCUCCACUUGUUUGCCCGUUACCUUUUCCCUUAUGAAAUGCACAUCCAACUCUAUGUGCUUGGUUUUGGCAUGAUAUACUGGAUUUGUUGCUAGUGCAGCUACACCAUUGUUGUCACACCAGAUUAUUGGUAUUUGGCUACACUUCAGUUUAAGCUCUCCAAGUAAAGCUUGAAUCCAAACAAUUUCUGCACAAGCUGUUGACAAUGCUCUAUACUCUAACUCUGUGCUAGACCUUGCUACAGUUUGUUGCUUCUUGGAGGACCAUGAAACCAGAUUCUGCCCAAGAUAUACACAAUAUGCUCCAACUGACUUUCUGUCAUCCACAUCACACGCCCAAUCUGCAUCUGUAUAUGCUGUCAGACUAAUUCCAUCUCCUGCUUUAAACAUCAAUCCAUAAUCUUCAGUUGCCUUUAAGUAUCUUAGAAUUUUCUUACAAGCAACCCAGUGUUUCUCAGUUGGUGCAGCAAGAAAUUGGCUCAACUUAUUAACUGAAAAGGCAAGUUCUGGUCUUGUAAGUACCAAAUACUGUAAAGCACCUAUUAUGCUUCUAUACUCAGUGACAUUAACAAUCAAGUUAUCAUCAUUCCCUGCUCUUCUUAGUUUCUGUCCUGUACUCAUUGGAGUAUCACUUUCUCUGUAAUUUUCCAUAUCAGUUCUUGUAAGCAAAUCUCUUACAUAUUUUGCCUGUGAAAGAUGUAAGCUACCCUUUGCAUCAUGUGUAACCUCAAUACCAAGGAAGUAACUGAACUCACCAAGAUCUUUUAAAGCAAAGGUAUCUCCAAGGUAUUGGAUAAAUGUUUCAAUUACUGUAUUGUUAUCACCAGUAAUUAAUAUAUCAUCUACAUAUACUAACAUAGCCACAAUACCUCCAAGUUCAUGUUUGAUGAACAAAGAUGAGUCUGCUUUGGAGUUCUGAAACCCCCACUGCAACAGUGCUUUCCUUAGCCUGUCAAACCAGGCUCUGGGAGCCUGUUUCAAACCGUAAAGAGCCUUAUGCAACUGACAAACAUGACCAGAUGGAGACUGAACAAAACCCUCAGGUUGAAACAUGUAGACAUCUUUAUUGAGCUCUCCAUUAAGGAAAGCAUUGUUGAUGUCGAUUUGUCUUAUUUUCCAGCCCUUCAUCACAGCAAGACUAAGGAUAAUUCUCACAGUUGACUGUUUAACUACUGGACCAAAGGUCUCAAAGUAGUCAAUACCAGGUGUUUGAUGAAACCCUUUUGCCACCAGCCGUGCUUUAUACUUAGAAACAGAACCAUCUGCAUUAUACUUAAUGCGAAAAACCCAUUUACACCCAACAAUUUUAGUAGCUUGAGAAGCUGGUACAAGAAUCCAAGUCUUAUUUUCCAUAAGUGCAUUAUACUCUGCCUGCAUGGCUGCUUUCCAUUUGGAAUCUGAAAGAGCUUGAGAAACUGUGGAAGGCUCUUGUUCUCCAAGAACAGAGGAAUAGGCAUGAAAUUUUGGCUUAAAUACACCUGCUUUGGCUCUUGUAAUCAUUGGGUGAUUUGGCAGUGAAACUUGAGUAGAGGAUGGUUGUUGAUUUGAAGUGUUUUGGGAUACAUAAGGAGAGGUGUGGGAGGGUGGAUGAUUUGAUUGAGAUGGUUGAAAUGGUUGAGAAGAAGGUGAUAAAGAACUAGAUGAGGAGGAAGAAGCUGAAGCUGCAGGCAACUGAAAUGGUUGUAUAAUGGUGUUACUUGAGCCUGAAGGGUCAUGAAGUGGAACUGACACUGAAGAUACCUUAAACAUAGGAUAUCUAUAUUCAGAAGCAGAGGAAGAAGGUUGUUUAGAGAAAAGAGAGUCAGUAGAGAAAGGAAAUUCUGACUCAUUAAACACAACAUGCCUAACAACAUAUACAACACCUUUUGAGCUUAGGCAUUUAUACCCUUUGUGAUAUGAGCUAUAACCAAUAAACAAACAUUUUGUAGUGUGAUAGUUGAAUUUGUGUUUGUUAUAGAAUCUCAAGUAUGGAAAACAGGAACAGCCAAAACACUUUAGAAAAUCAUAGUCAUGCUUGUGUUUGAAAAGAAUCUCAUAGGGAGAUUUAUUUGAUGGUAGAACAGAAGUUGCCAAUCGAUUGAUGAGAAAAGCAGAAGUUGAGAAUGCUUCCCACCAGAAACUGAGAGGCAAUUUAGCUUGUACAAGAAGAGUCAAACCCAUCUCAACAAGAUGUCUAUGUUUCCUCUCUGCUGUCCCAUUCUGGUGAUGUGUGUGAGGACAUGAAUGUCUGAAUAAAAUGCCAUGUUUUUUAAGAUAAUUCACAAAGGAUCUGAAUUCACCCCCCCCCCCAAUCUGACUGUAGGACCUUAAUGACUGUUUCAAAUUGUUUUUCAACUUGAGUUCGAAAAAUGGCAAAAACAGAUAAAGCUUGAGACUUGGUUUUCAAAGGAUAAACCCAGGCAUAUCUACUAUAAUCAUCAAUGAAACUGAUAUAGUAUCUAUAACCAUUGAGAGAAGUAAUGGGUGCUGGACCCCAUAAGUCAGUAUGGAUGAGUUCUAGAGGUGAGGUUGUUUUGUGUUCAGUUGCUCCAAAAUGCAGUUUAUGAACUUUGCCAUAUUGGCAGGCAUCACAAAAAUCAGGAAUUUGAAUUUUAUUGCUUAACUGCAAAUGUUUACAACUGGUGAGUACAUGUUUCAAGACUUUUGAACUAGGAUGACCAAGUUGCCUAUGUAGGAUAUUUAUUGAAGUACUGGAAACUCUACUGGAAUGAGACAACAGACACUGUUGAGAGGAGUGUUGAACAACUUUAGCUUGAAUAUUUGAAAAAGAACAAGACUGCAAACCAUCUGAGCAAUGUGGCACCAUAGACAUAGGAACAAAACAUGACUCUUUAUUUACAGUUGAAAAUAAAGCUUGAUGAGUUUUACUUCCAGGCUCAAGUUUCAGCUUAUACAGACCCUUCAUAGCUACACCCUCCAGCAAUACUGUCCUCUUCUUCUUGUCCUUGAGAAAGCAAGUAUUUCCAUAAAAUUCAAUGAUCAAGGAAUUAUCAGAAGUGAGCUUAGAAAUGCUUAAAAGAUUUUUGGUGAUGUGUGGCACAAAUAAAAGAUUUUUGAGCAAUAAUCUAUGAUUUCCAACUGCUAAAUGAGUGCUUCCUAUAUGAGAAAUAGUAAGGCCAUGUCCAUUACCAAUUAAAAGCUUUUCAUUACCUUCAUAAGGCUCACUGAUGCUGAGAUUAUUGAGAUCAUUGAUUAGGUGGUGAGUUGCUCCACUAUCCAGGUACUAGUCAUCAUCCAUUACUGCUUCUGGUGUUGCCAUAUAAGCUGACAUAUUUCUUUGACCGUAGCCUUGAUUGAAAACUUGAUUCUGAUGUGGAUACCUUAUGACUGGAAUGAAAUCCUUGUUGAACCUAUCCUUGCAGGUAGCAGCAGUGUGUCCUAUGAUGAAGCACACUUGGCAUCUAGGCUGAUAUGGCUGUGAAAAAUGACUAGGCACAUGACUAGGCAUUUGAGUUCUCCCACCUUGAUUCCAAGAUCUUCCUCCAUGCAUGUUAUUUCCUCUUCCACCUUUCCUUCCUCGAUAGAAAUUUCCACCUUGAUUCCCUCUAAAAUUUCCUUGCAUCAUGUAUCCAGAAUUUUUAGAUCUUGAUGCAUCUUGAUUGAAACCAGAUCUUGAGUUGUAUGUUCCAAAACCUUUCUUAUUAUUGUUCCCUUACUGAACAAAAUUUGCAGCAAACGCCAGAUUUGCAUCCAUAGUUCAGCUAAAGCUUGUUGUUCUAACAUUCCCUCAUGUGUCAUUAACAUAGAGAGUGAUUCUGAUAAAUCGAGAUCUAAUCCUCUUCCUGUGAUCAAAACUGCUACAGGAUUGAAUUCUGAACCAAUUCCUCCUAACACACUCAUCAUAAAGUCAUAGUCACUCAUUGGUGCUCCUGCUGCUGCCAUGCUAUCUGCUAUGCCUUUCAUUUUGUGAAAAUAGUCAUAAACACUCAAAUCGUUCUUCUUUGUCAACAUCAUUUGAUUCUUCAGUUGCAAUGCUCUGGUUUUGUUUUGUGAGCCAGAAAGUUUUUCCAGAGCUUUCCAAACUUCAAAGGAAGUUUUGCAUCCGAGAACAAUUCCGAGAACACUCUCAGUCAUGGAAGAGAGUAGCCAACCUAGCAACUGCUGAUCAGUUCGCUUCCACAUCACAAACUCAGAGUUCGGAAUCCUCUGAUCUGUGUAUGGUGCUGUGAUUGAACCAUCAAUAUAUCCUUCUAAUCCAUUUCCCUGAAUGGAUGCCAAUACUUGCAUUUUCCAGAUCAAAUAAUUUGAUCUGUCGAGCUUAAUUGGUGUAGGAAAGGUAUAGGAAACAGUUGUGGUUUGAUUUAAGCUUGAUGAUGCCAUCUAGCUCUGAUACCAAGUUAGAAUUCACAAACCUUAAGCAUACAAUCUGUUUGGCUAGCAGGAAAGUGACGAAGGAAGAAAGAAAAAUAAACUGAAUAAGAGAAUUUUAUUAAUCUCGAAUCACACACUUACAUUCAAGCUUUCAUCAACUUAUAUUGCUGAUUAACAGAAGUAACAACCUCUGUAACAGCUGUCAAAUAACUAUUGGUUAAGCUAAGCUAAACAAUAACAAUCUAACUAAUUUGUCCAGCUCAGCUAUCCAGCUCAUCAAUCCUAGUCAAGUGAAUCUCAGCCAUUGAUCUGCUGCUGUUGAUUAAGCAUCUCAACAAUAGCGAAUGUUCUUAUGAAAAGAGCAAAAUUAGCUCAACAUGAAGAUGAAGAGCUAGAGAGCGGGUUAGGAGCUGCCAGGCAGAUGAUUAGGAUGACGAAUGAAAAGAAGAAUACUGCAUUGCAGUCUGCACGAGGCAGUGUUUCAUGGCAAAGUGGAUGUGUUGAAAAUACUGACGAGAUAAAUACCUGAAUAUCCAUAUUCUGUAAAUAAUUGCGGCAAAACGCCGCUCCACAUGGCUGCUGAGUAUGAGCACUUUUCUCAUAAGAUGCUAGCCUUAUUAGAAAACUGCACAUCAAUGUCCCAUGAAGGCCCCUACGGAAGGACAGUUUUACGUGAUGCAGUAAUGCAGUUGGAUUUCCGUAAGUUUGAUUAUACCCUUUCAGUGCGAAUUUGAAUAUUUAGAUCUUUUCCUGCAGGUUUUGUUCAUGCUCUUUCAUGCCCACGGGUCUGACAGAAUGAUUCUCAAGUAAUUAUAUUUAGUUGGUCACCAAAUUUAAAUUCUGAGAGGCUGGUGGUGGAUAAACAUUGAAUUUGAAUUAUAAUUUUAUUUAUCUUUUGGCUCUUUACACUCAGAAAUGAAUUAUCAUGCGAUGCAACAAUUAUUUGAAAAAAGGAAGAGUCUGAUCAAAGAAACAGACCAUUAUGGGUAGACUCCAAUUCAUUACGCUGCAUAUCAUAAUCAAUAUCAACAAAUACAUGUGCUAUUAGAAAUUGAUCAAACUGCUUCAAACAUUACUGAACAAAGAUCGAAAGAUGACAGCUCUUCAUUCGGCAAAGGGCCGAGGGCAUGCCAGAACAGUUGAAAGAAUUCUUUCCCUUACACCAGAAUGUUAUGAACUGGUCGAUAACAGGGGAUGGAACUUUUUUCAUUAUGGAAUAGUCAUUUUUUUUUUAAUGAUUUAAAAACUCAACUAAAAUAUCCGUUAGCGAGGAGUCUUAUAAAUGAGGGGGAUGCCAAGGAGAACUCUAUAUGAUUAGGAAGACUCGAACUAACUAUCACACUGUCAAUAGGCAAAAUGUUAGUGUUAGACACAUUUUGAAAUAUGGCUAUCCUAUCCUGAGCUCAAGGUAAUUAAUUUGUUAAUUCUUUCAACUUAUAAAUCCAGCUUUCUUUUUCAUUACUUUAUUAUUAUUUUUUUUUUUAGUUUAUGCAAUUAAUUCAUAUUCACACUCAAUUUACAGGAGGAAGAAUUUUCCAAAGAUGUUGGCGGAGGACAAUAUCAAGAUGGUGCUAUAUUCAUGACGACAGUGCUAAAUUGCUAAGACCAGAUCCAAAUGCAAUGGCACGUGGAGUAGUGGCUCGACCGGGUUAGCCCAAAAAAUAAUUCAAUAUCCCUUAAAUUUUAUGGUAUUUUUAUUUUUAAAUCUUUUUCUUUCGUGUCCUUAAAUCAAUCUUUAUUAAAAUAACUUAAAUAUAUUUAUAGUUAAGUUAUUCUGGUUUGGACCCUUUAAAAUUCAAUAUUAAAAUAGUAAUUUGUCUUUUUACCAACUUUCUUUUGAGCAAGUUUCUUGAUGUUGCAAUGUCUUUUGAAUUGUUUUUUUUUUUUUUGUUAUGUUCACACAGAUAAAUACGAUAAAUUCAUAAUCUAACCCUGCCUGGUCAAAAGAUUAUCUUGACGAUCCUAAAUAUGAUUACAAAGAUAUGACAGCGUCCGAUGUUGUAGUAUAGUGAAAAUUACCCUUUAGGACAAUGCUUUGCACCCGCCUUGAGGAUUUUUCUCUGAGUUCGUAUUUGUUGGUCCGAUAACAAAUUCUUCGUUGUAGGAAGCAACUAUUUGGUUUUCCGGCUGCAGCCACAAGGUUAUGAUUGUAACUUUUUUUUUUAAAUGAGAAAGAAUAUUGUUGUCAAGCUAUUGUUCAUCACCGUUGAGGCUUUUGAUGGGUGUUGUUGUUCAGGCUGAGCUGGUCUUUCAAAAAAGUUAUUUUGUCUCAAAUUUCCAACGUAAAUGGCCCAACAAAUUUGUGCCUUUCUGUAUAUUUAUUAAUAUGAAUACGCUUCAUAAUUGUGAGACUUAUUUUUUUUGUAUCAGUUGAUACAUUAAAAAAAUUAGAGAAAAUGACUAACACACCCUCAAUGUUUAGGUAAAAGGAUAAAAAUUCCCCAACAUUUCGUAAAAGAUAUUUACACCCUCAUUCACUAACGGAAAUAGUUACUUUUAAUAGAAAUAGUAAUUUUAAUAUAUAAUUACCAUUAUACCCUUCUAGCACAUAAAAAAAAUUAUUAAUUGUCCAAUUUGUUUAUAUAUUAUUAAUAAAAUUACAAAUAUACCUUCAUUACCUAAUUCCUCUCUUUAAAUUUUUAUCAAAUUAUCUCUUCAAGCAAAAUAAAUUUAAUCUAUUAUCAAUUUUUAUGUCUAUUGGAUAUGUUACUUAAUACAAUUAAGAUAAGAUUUUUGUAAUUAUUGUUGUAACCAGCCUUUUUUUUUAUUUUGUUGAUUAUACAAGUUUAAAUGAUUGACAUGUAGAGAAUUGUUAUUCUUAUGGCAUUAAUAACUAAUUUUAUUUAUUUUAUCAAUUUUUAUGUCUAUAGGAUAUGUUAUUUAAUACAAUUAAGAUAAGAUUUUUGUAAUUAUUGUUGUAACCAGUUUUUUUUUAUUUUGUUGAUUAUACAAGUUUAAAUGAUUGACAUGCAGAGAAUUGUUAUUCUUAUGGCAUUAAUAACUAAUUUUAUUUAUUUUUAUUCUUGAGUAAUGGAUUAAAUUUAUUUGGUUUAAAGAGAGAAUUUGAUAAAAAUUUAAAUAGAGGAAUUGGGCAAUGGGGGUAUAUUUAUAAUUUUAUUAAUAAUAUAUGGAUAAAUUGGACAAUUAACAAUUAUUUUUUUAUGUGUUAGAAGGGUAUAACGGUAAUUAUAUAUUAAAAUUACUAUUUCCAUUAAAAGUUAUUGUUUCUGUCAGUAAAUGAGGGUGUAAAUAUCUUUUUCAAAACGUCAAGGGAGUUUUUGUCCCUUUGUCUAAACGUUGGGGGUGUGUUUGUCUUUUUCCCAAAAAAUUAACUUAGAGAAAAAGAAGAUUUAACAUUUUUUUUCAGGUCAAGGCAGCUGCUUCUCGAAAAAAUACUGUCAGUGAUUUCUUAGGCUUCUCCGAAGGCUCUUUUCCUUUUGUUUAUCCUGGAGUUCCAAUUUUCAAGGGUUGUAUUUUGUCCGUUGUCGGGCGAGUGGAGCUAGUUAAUACUCGACCCUAGGGAUUGAGUUAGUAAUUUUUUCCCCAUUGAAAAAACUUCAUCGUUUUGCCUUUGUUUUUCUCAGCGGUCUGUCACCCCAUGAUUGAUUUAACAUUUCUCUUGCCAAUUAAAAGAGUAAACAAACGUUAACUAAAAAACAUGUCGUGUGCAAAAAGUCAACAGAUAGAUGCACAAAAACUCUAUUCUCCUCCACAUAAAAGUGUAGCAUUUAGAUAAUAAAGUUACUGUAUUCAAGUGAUUGUUCAACGCCAUUGUGUACAGCUGUUCUGGCUGAUUUAGGCUUUUAAUGAAACUAUAUUGACUCAUAUUUCUAACAAAUGGACCAUGAUUUCAAUGUUAAAAUACUGAACCUUUCAAGGGUAUAGGAAGAGAUGUAACUUUGAACUCGCGGCCUUAGUGGACUUGAGACUGAGUGUGUAAAUACAUUUUGUAUAAACUAAACAAUUGUAACACUUUGAAGUUGUCGAAUGGGAACUGCAUAAUAAGAUUGUUCCAGUGGAACCAUUGUGAUACUCGUGUAAAUCAAUUAAAGGUUCGUGGAAGAAUAACGACAUAUGUUAAACUAAGGUAAAGAAUCUCCAUAUACAUAAAUAAUAGUUAAUUGAUUAAAAAAAAGGUAAAGAAUCUCCAUAUACAUAAAUAAUAGUUAAUUAAUUAAUAAAUCACUUAGGGUGCGUUUAGUACAUUAUAUUGUAUUAUGUUGUAUUUUAUUAUUUUAAUACUAAUGUAUUGUAUUAUGUUGUAUUGUAUUAGUACCGUAUUAUAAAAAUAUUGUAUAAUAUUUGGUGUUAUACUGUACUGUAUUGAUUAAUGUUGUACAAUGUUUGGUGUCAUACUGCACUGUAUCGAUUUGUUUUGUGAUUAAUUUAAAUUAAAUAUUACAUUAUACUAAUAUUUUAUAUUAUAUUAAUAUAUUUAAAUUGUUUUAAUAUUUUAUAUUAUUAUUAAUUUUAAAUUAAUAUUAUUCAUAUUUAUUAUUAGUUAUAAUAAAUUAUAUAUUUAUUAAUUUAUAUUAAUAAUUAUAAUGUAAAAAUAAAAAUAAAAAUAAAAAUUAGAUGAUAUUGUAUUAAAUUAAAAAGUAGUUAUUAUUAUUAUUAUUAUUAUUAUUAUUAUUAUUAUAAAGUAAAAGCAAAAGUUAAAAGAAAAGUCAAAAGCAAAAGCAAAAGCAAAAGCAACAAAAAAAAAAAGUAAGCUAAUGCACAGCCCUUUAACCCAUUCUCGUUUUUUCAAACAUAGUCUUAUCAUUAAUUUAAUGUAAAUAGUAUUUUAAUAUCCCGUAAUACAAUGCACCAACCAUACUCUUAGAUAUUUUUCUGUCAAAUAAAACAUAUAAAUGUCGAUAAUUAAUACAUGAAUGACACAUUCCAUGUAGUAUCAUUUUAAGAAGUGAUUUAAUAAGUAACAAGAAGGCUAAGAGGCAACAUUGAAUCACUUUUCUUUUGUAGAAUUAAUGAAGUACUCAUAGAGUAUUCCCCUAUUAUUUUAUUGUUUGCAGUCAUUUGAGAGUCACUUUCUUUACCCAACAAACAAAAAGAGCAGAACUGUAUAUGGAAUCCGAUCGAAAUGUGAUAAGGAAGGCUGCAGUAUUUAAAGAUUGAGGAUAUGGCUAUGCAGACUUUUGCAAUGUUAAGGACAAAACAAUAGAAGAAACCAUGGUCAACUUUAAUAAUUAAUUGGUAUAUAUAUAUUUUUGUCUGGGUUCUUAAAAAUAUUGCGCCACAGUUUAAUUAAUUAUUAAUUACACAUACAAGCACACAAUUGAGAAAUUGAUUAGUUUGCCAACGAGAAUGACUAAUCUCAAUUUAUUUAUUUAUUUAACUAAAAGAGCAUGAGGAAGAAAUCAAGGUUAAAAAUGUUAAUUCUUGGUUUGUCAAAAGAGUAAGAAUUAAUGUCGAUACUUACCUUGUCAAAAAAGCAAGAAUUUAAGAAGUGUGAAAAAUACUACAUUAAUGUUGAUUCUUGGCUUGUCAAAAGAGUAAGAAUUAAUGUCGAUACUUACCUUGUCAAAAAAGCAAGAAUUUAAGAAGUGUGAAAAAUACUACACUUUUCAAGUCAUAUAUACAUACAUGUCAGGUUAGAAGAAGAUCUAUGAGUACCUCCGAGAUACUGGGUACCGUUAUCUAAUAGAUCAACUUCGCCAACAUGAAUCCUGUUUCCAUUGAGAUUGAGGAAGCUCCAUUAUUGGACAGCAAUGGUGAAAUUAAGCAGCAAAUGGACCUAAAUUUUUUCAAAGCUGCAUCUGCGGGCAAUUCAGAACCGUUCAAAGACAUGGAAAGAGAUGUAAUUGAGAGAUUGUUAACAGCAAAGGCCAAAAACACAAUCCUGCAUAUCAACAUCAUAUCAUCAGAAAGAGAAAAUGUGUCAACGAAGUUCGUAGAAGAAAUACUUGAGAAAUGCCCAGCACUGCUACUACAAGUUAAUGCCAAAGGCGAUACUCCACUUCACCUUGCAGCAAAAUUCGGCCAUUUUGAGAUAGUGAGAGUUCUUAUUGAAAGAGCAAAAUUAGCUCAACGUGGAGAUGAAGAGCCAGAGAGCGGGGUUGAACCUUUCAGGCAAAUGAUUAGGAUGGUGAAUAACGAGAAGAAUACAGCACUCCACGAGGCAGUGUCUCAAGGCAACGUGGACGUGGUGAAAAUACUGACAAGAGAAGACCCUGGUUAUCCAUAUUCUGCAAAUAAUUACGGCAAAACGCCACUCUACAUGGCUGCUGAGUAUGAGAACCGUUCUGAUAUGUUGCGUGGCCUUUUGGAAAACCGCACAUCAGCGUCCUUUGAUAUGGUGCUUGCCCUGUUAGAAAACAGCACAUCAGUAUCUCAUGAAGGCCCCAACGGAAAGACGGCUUUACAUGCUGCAGCAAUGAGAUCUUUUGCCGGUAAGUUUAAUGAUACCCUUUCAGUGAAUUAUUAGAUUUAGUGAGUUAUUAAAUUAGCGAAUUAUUAAAUUUAGUGAAUUAUUAACUAAAUCUAAUUAUACCCUCAAAGAGAAUUAUUUAACUACUAUUCUCAAUUCCGGUUUUUCUCCUCACUCAUCAUGAAUCAAUCAUAAUUUCUGAAAAUCACAAUAAAUUAUAAUGAUCUCAAUAAGCAAAUUUAUUUUUCAUAUAUGAAAAUACAUACUUGUUUAUAUAUAAUGCAAAUGGAUAACAUGCCAGUCUUUUAAAAAUAUUAUAAAACAAAUUCUUUAAAAUUUCUUUUGCCAUGAUCAAACUUCACAUUUCCUUUUAAAUCACUUACUUCAAUUACCUUCAUUCAAUUACUAUUCAAUAAGACUCUCACUUAACAUUUAUAACUUUGGUUUUCAUGUAAACUUCCUUCACCCACUUAUCUCUUAAAUAUUAUAUCUACAGUGUCCACUAAGCGAGUAAAGAAUUCAAGAAACUAAGCAAAAUCGAAAAACUUUCUUUCUUUCUUCAAAAUCAAUUUGCUCGAAUCCACUUUCUUAUUUUCCGAAAAACAUAAUGCAUAUUCAUGUUAAUGCCAAUAAAUUUUUACACAUACAUAUAUAUGUGUAUAAAUCAUAUUUGACACAUAACAACACAUUGCAUAAAUACAUGGACAGACCAUAUAAAUCCAUACCCCGUACAUAUCAAAAUAAACUUUUGAAACACGUAAAAUAGAUACAUAUUUUUUAUCGUGAUUAAGUAACAAAAGUGUAUUACACCAUCGGUCUAAAACCAAUAAUAAAACGCUCAUGAGAUAUCAUCAUAUCCUCAUUCAUGAGUUAAUAAAAUAUCCCAAAAUUUUAAAUUACCAAAUUACCCUUGAAAAUUCUAAAUUACCAAAAUGCCCUCGCUGGUCAAUGAUGACCGGAAUUCGAGCGGCGAUGAUCAAAUAAGUCAAAACAGGAACUUCAGCUCGCUCUGAAUCCAAAGGUGGCAGCGGUGUGCUCCGACGCGUAGCCAUGGUGCCCGAUCGAGUUUCGACAGCCGUGAAACUUCAACGGCUGAUCGGCGACAAAUCGGCCACUGUUUGAUGGUCAGAAAUUGAAGUGACUGCCAUAAACGACAAAUCCCAGGUGACGACAUGAUCGAAAUCAGGUAAAAACUCGCCGAUUUGAGUUUUCGUCCUCCAUGACUUAACACGGGCUUGUGGACUGGUCAUAGGCUGUUUUCCAGCAACAAUGAUGAUAGGGGAAUGACCGCGUCGUCUGGGAGUUCGGUUGAUACCCUCCAUCGCCGGAGAUGUGGCCAGAAUCGGAAGCACCGAUUCAGGUUUCGUGAACGGGUUGACCCGACCUGUUUCCUCUCUCCUCUGAGCCGAUCGCCACGUUCUCUCUCCCACUUAAUUUACUUAAUUCACUUAAUCCAGUUAAUGACUAAAUAUUCUUAGGAGAAUUAAUUUUUUUAUUACUGACAAAAAUACUCUUAAUUUAUGAAGAAAUUAAGUGCUGUUAUGAAGGAAUUAAUUUUUUUACUGUGAAAUGCUCCUAAAAAAUUAAUCUUUAGAACUGUAAAUAUAGUGAAAAUUGGUCUUUUGGAUAACUAAGAUAGGGAAAGUUGGUUUUUAGGAUAAUUAGAUUUACCAAAUUGGUCUUUAGAAUAGUGCUUCAAACGUGUCUUAGUGAAUUUUGCAAAAAUUGUGAUUUCUAGAUGCAAACUCAGGGAAAUGAUUGCAAGUUUUUAUUUUGCUAAAUAACAAAGUUACCGAUCUGAAGCCAUUAUUCAUCACUCAUUGUGUGAUUGGUGUUGGUGUUGUUCUAGACCUCUGGCUGGUUUGGAAUUAAAAAAAAAAAAAAAAAAAUCUAUUUUUUUCCUCAUAUCUCCAACAUAAAUAGCCCCCCAAAUUUAUGCCCUUUCUGAAUAUUUACUUUUAUUAAAAAUUUCAUUAUUAUUUGAUUUAUCUUCUGUAUUCUCAGUUGAUACUGCAUUACCGAAAUUACUUGAGAAAAAGAAGAAUCUGAUCAAAGAAACAGACCAAUACGGCUGGACUCCAAUUCAUUACGCUGCAUAUUAUGGAAAUUACAGGACGGUAAAUUUGCUAUUAGAAACUGAUCAAUCCGCUUCGAACAUUGCUGACAAAGAUCGAAAGAUGACAGCUCUUCAUUUGGCAGCGGGCAAAGGGGAUGCCCGAACGGUUGAGCGAAUUAUUUCUGGAAAUCCAAAAUGUUACGAGCUGGUCGAUAACAGGGGAUGUAAUUUUCUCCAUUAUGCUAUGGUUAGUUUUCAUGUUGGACAACUAAGAAAUCUUCUUGAAAAUAAUCCGUUAGCGAGGAGUCUUAUAGAUGAGGGGGAUGCCGAGGGAAACACUCCUCUCCAUGUGCUUGCUGCAGUCCGACCAAAAGAAUUCCAUGAUGUUAUGAAUAGGAGUACUCAAGCCAACUAUGACGCUGUCAACAAACAAAAUGUUAGUGUCAGACACGUUUUUAAUUAUGGCUAUACUGAGCUCAAGGUAAUUAUUUAAUUUGUUCCUUCAACUAAAUUAUUAAAUUUUAUUUUUUUACGCAAUUAAUUAAUAUUCAAAUGUAAAUUAAUUACAGGAAGAAAUCCAAAAAUUAUCCAAAGAUGUUGGCAGAGGACAAUAUUCAAAAGGUGUUAUACGCAUAAGAAAAGUACGAAAGUAUGUUACUAAAGAAGAUUACAAGGAUACGAGAGCAUCACAUUUGGUAGUGGCUGCACUCAUAGCAACGGUAUCCUUCGAAGCAGCUUUCACCAUUCCUGGCGGUUACAGAAGCGAAAAUGGAACUGCAAUCCUAAGGAGAAAUAAAGCUUUUCAAGCAUUUAUAGUAGCAGAUUCCAUUGCCAUGGUCUUUUCUCUUUCUGCCGUCUUUACUCACUUCUUGAUGGCUCCUAAAAUUGAAAAAACUAAAGAUUUCAAUCAGGGUCUGCUCCACGCUUCCAUUUGGUUCACCGUAUUUGCCAUGGGAGCAAUGGUGAUUGCAUUCGUUACGGGAACGUAUGCAAUGUUAGUACCUUCUUUAGGCCUUGCUAUUAUCACUUGUUUAAUUGGCUUGAGCUUUUUCUUGCUUGUGAUUUGGAUUUCUUGCUUGUGAUUUGGAUUAUGGGAUUGUAGUAAGUCACCAUCUUUGUUUAUCAAUAAAAUGAUUGGUUUUCAUUUAACAUAAACGUUAAUUAAUUUACUCAAUCUUUGCUAAUAAUCAAUCAUUAUUUUAAUUGUACAUUAAUCACUGAUGCUUUAAUGAACAUCAAAUUUGAUAUCCAGACCGGUCUAUUUUGUUGUCAAUAAUUAGAUUGAAUUGGUGAGAGGAAAUCAAAAUCAAAUUUAAUAUUUCAAGUUGUUUGUACUUUCUUAUGUUGAUGGAAUAAAAUCUUGAUUGCUUUUUCAAAAAAAAAUUGAAAAAAUUUAUCUAUUUGUAUAGUGCGUCAUGAUAAAUCAUCAAUUAGACAUGAGUAAAGAAAAUUCAUGAUGCGUGUUUAAGGGUGGUAUAUAUUUAUAUUUUGGCUUUUUUAAUAAGUUUUAAAUAGGUUAAUAUAUUGCCAUCAGAAUUUUAUUAAUAUUUACAAUAAAAAAUUUAUCGGAAUUAUUUUUAAUACAUCUAAUAUGGCACAGUCUGAAUAUCUACCCUCACAUAAUAUCAUAGUGAUAUUUGCUCUACUCAUAUUAAUGGAGAAGAAAUUUGUUAACAUGUAUAUGUUCAUAAUAUUGAUUUUGAUGAUAACAAACUUUAAAUGUUUUUGAUUAAAGUGUUGGAGCUAUUCAUGAAUAAACGAAAGCCUUAUAAUCAUUUCAAUUAUAUUUAUAAAAGUUGGAUAACUGUUAAACUUGAAAUUGGAAAAUGAUUCUCUGUAAUAUCUGGCUAAAACUAUGAUUCUGGAAAUAAACGGUGAACCGUUUAUUUUUAACGGUUAACUGAUUAAAUCCAGAGAGUAACGAAUUGCUUAAGCUCUAACCGGUUAACAAAAACGGAAAACACAAAAUGCUGAGAAGCCAACUGGAAUUAAACUGUGAACUGUUUAUUGAAACGGUUAACUGAUUAAAAUCCAGAAUGGAAAACUGUGUUCAUCUUGUUACUGAAAACAAACGGUAAAAGUUUAACUGAAACGGAUAAGGCUAACUUGUUCUAUAGGUUACUGGAAACAAACGGCGAACCGUUUAUUACAAACGGUUAACCGAUAAAUUCUAGAGAGGUUAUUUCGGGCAAAUCUUUAACCUUUUAAUGCAAACGGAUAGCUGAAGUUUAUCUUGCAGGUCUCUGGAAUUUAACGGCGAAAGGAUAAUCCUAAACAGCAAACCGUUUAUUAGAAAAUUGGCCCAACGGUAACUUUGACCAGCCUAAACGGUUAACCGUUAAUGGUUAACAGCGAACUGUUUGCGAGCAGACAGUCUAUAACGGCUAGUUUUUCAGCUCCAACUAUAAAUAAGCUCAUUUAAAUUCAAACAAGGUUGAUCACAACACGACCAUUGAGCUUAUAUUCGAGAAUACAAUCUUCAUAGAGCUUUAAAACACAUUCUUACUUCAUUUAUUCACGCAUUGGGCAUUGAUUUGUAAUCUUAAAUAUUGUGUGAGAGAAAAAUUAUUUUUAAUCUUUUAGUUUGAGUGAUUGUAAGUGUCGGGAUACACUUGGGUUAAGAGAUUGGGGAUAAUCUCUUAUUGUAAAGGUUCAUUGACACCUUGAAAGUCAAGUGUAAGCAUUUGAAGCCUUGGAGGUUUGCUUAGUGAAAUCCUCAAGUCCGGAAAGCUUGAAGGCGUAGACGUAGGUGAGGUUGGCCGAUCCACGUAAAAAUCUUCGUGUUUAAAUCUCUCUUCCUUUAUCUUUUUAUACUGUAAUUGAUUUAAUUGUUAUUCCAUUAAAUUCAUUUUAGAUUUGCAUGAUAAUUUGUUAUAGAAUCAAAUAAUUUUUAGAAUCCCAAUUCACCCCCUCUCUUGGGUUACACACUUAUAUUUUAUUUGGUAUCGGAGCUUGGUUCUCUUGUUAGGACUUAACCAUCUAGAGUAAAAUAUCCAUGGCAACCCAAAAUGACUCAACCUUUAGGGAAAGACAGUCCACAACUAGACUACCGUUCUUUGACUGAAAUGACUACCCAUAUUGAAAAACUAGGAUAAGAAUUUAUUUACAAGCACUAGAUUAUGAAAUUUGGGAAGUUGUAUGUGAUGGUUCGUUUUUGCCCCUAGCUAAAAAUGAAGUAGGGAAAGAUAUUCCAAAACCUUCAAGAGAAUGGAAUGAAUUGGAAAAGAGAAAAGCUUCUCUAAAUUCCAAAGCUAUGAAUGCUUUAUUUUGUGCACUUGAUAAGAAAGAAUUUCAUCGAGUAUCUAGUUGUUAAAGUGCCAAUGAAAUUUGGCACAAACUUGAAGUAGUCUAUGAAGGCACAAAUCAAGUGAAAAAGUCGAAAAUUAGUAGGUACACUCGACAAUAUCAGUUGUUCCAAAUGGAAUAAAAUGAGAGUGUGUACUUUAUGUAUACGAGAUUUACGGACAUAGUAAACACCCUAGGAGCCCUAGGAAAGACCUUUUCAAAUAACGAGAAAGUUAAAAAAAAUCAUUAGGUCACUUCUAAAAGAAUGGAGACCUAAAAGAACUGCUAUUGAAGAGGCCAAAGAUUUAAAUACUUUACCUCUUGAUGAUUUAAUUGGUUCUCUAAUUUCAUAUAAAGAAGAUUUGGCAACAGAAAAAGGGCAUGAGGAGAAGAAGAAAAGCAUUGCUCUCAAAGCUUCAAAAUAUGAGAGUGAUGGGGAGAGUGAACCGGAUGAUAAAGAGUUGGCCAUGCUAGCAAGGAGGUUCAGAAAAUUCUUCAAGAAAACCGGAGAGCAAAGAAAAUUCAGAAACUUCAAGAACCAAAGGGAGAAGAAAGAGGUAAUCACAUGCAAUGAAUGCAAGAAGCCUAGCCAUAUAAGAUCGGAGUGCCCACUUAUCAACAAACUUAAGAAGAAAGCCAUGGUUGCAACUUGGGAUGAUAGCGAGGAAGAUUCAAGUGAUGAAGAAGGGUCACAAGAAAUAUCAAACCUAGUGCUUAUGGCAAUAGGAGAUGGUGAUGAUCUCAAUGAGGUAAGUGAUCCCACCUAUGAUGAAUUGUAUGAUGCUUUUAAAGAAUUGCAUAAUGAGUUGAUGAAAAUUGGUAAAAAGAAUGUAUGUCUUAAAAAGGAAAUGACAAAGCUUAAAAAUGAAAAUGAAUCUCUAAAUGCAAGAAUUAUAUGCCUAGAAGUAGAGAACAAAACAUUGCAUGAUGAAAUUGCAUUUAUCAAAUGAGAAACCUAGCAUCAGCAUUUAGAAUCACACAUAGAUGAUUUGAAAAAUGAAAAUGAAAUGCUUAAGAAAAAUAGCAAUGAGUUGAAUGAGAUUGUUUUGAAAUUUACAAAUGGGCAAAAGAUGUUGGAUAACAUGCUUAAUUCACAAAAAUGUGUGUUUGACAAAGGAGGUAUUGGUUAUAAGCCAAACUUGAAACAAAAAUAUUAUAAAAACUACUUUGUGAAGAGUAUAUCUAGUAACAAACAAAUUGUAUGUCAUUUUUGUAAUUAAGAUGGUCAUAUAAAAAAUAGAUGUCCAGUAAAAAGAAAUGUAUGUUAUAGUAUGAAAUGCAUUUGGGUUCCAAAAGGAAUCACUACUAACUCUCAAGGACCCAAAAAGCUUUGGAUACCUAAAACUUGAGAUUUUCCUUGUAGGGCUUGAAGAAGAAGAAAAAUAAAUGGUACUUGGACAGUGGUUGUUCAAGGCACAUGACCAGAAACUAUGCAUGGUUCUCAAGCUUCACCAAAAUUAAAAAUGAUAGAGACGUAUCUUUUAGAGACAACUCAAAAGGAAAAAGUCUUCGAAUUGGAAAUGUUGGUAAAGUUUCCUCAACUCUAAUUGAGAAUGUAUGUUUGGUUGAGAACUUGAAACACAACUUAAUUAGUAUUAGUCAAUUAUGUGACGAAGGUUAUAAAGUUAUCUUUGAUAAAUUUAGUUGUGUUAUUGAGAAUUUAUGUGAUGACAAGAUCUUAUUUAUUGGGAAUAGAUAUGGUAAUGUUUAUAUCAUUGACAUAGAAUGUGCAUCUACUCUUGAUAAAUGCUUUUCGGCAUUGCAUGAUGAUAGUUGGUUAUGGAAUAGAAGGUUAGGACAUGCAAAUAUGGAUUUGAUUUCAAAAAUUUCGAAAAAUGAUUUAGUUAAAGGUCUUCCAAAAAUUGGUUUUCAAAAAGCGAAGAUUUGUGAAGCUUGUCAAUUUGGAAAACAAAUCAAAACAUCUUUCAAAAAUAAAAAUCAUAUUUCUACUCAAAACCACUUCAACUUCUUCACAUAGAUUUAUUUGGGCCCUCUAGAUAUGCUAGUCUAAAUAGCAAAUCUUAUGCAUUUGUGAUAGUGGAUGAUUAUUCUAGAUAUACAUGGGUAUUAUUCUUAGCUAAUAAGGAUGAUGCUAUUGAUGCCUUUAAAGUGCUUUGUAAGAAAAUUCAAAAUUCAAAAUUCAAAAUGGUAUGGUAUUGCAUGCAUUAGGAGUGAUCAUUGAGGAGAGUUUAAAAAUCAUGCAUUUGAGAUUUUUUGUAAUGAUUUUGGUAUUGAGCAUCAAUUUUCAUCACCUAGAACUCCACAACAAAAUGGAGUUGUUGAGAGAAAGAAUAGAUCUAUUCAAGAAAUGGCUAGGACUAUAUUGAAUGAAAAUUCAUUGCCUAAGUAUUUUUGGGCCAAGGCCGUUAACACUGCUUGUUAUGUUUUAAAUCGUGUGUUGAUUAAACCUAACCUUAACAAAACGCCAUAUGAGCUUUGAAAAAAUAGAAAACCCAAUAGUGGUUAUUUCAAAGCUUUUGGAUGCAAAUGUUUUAUUUUGAACACAAAAGAUAAUCUUGGCAAAUUUGAUCUAAAAUCCGAUGUGGGUAUUUUUCUUGGAUAUUCAAACUCAAGCAAAACUUAUAGAGUUUAUAACAAAAGAACUCUAGUUGUAGAAGAAUCGAUGCAUGUUACAUUUGAUGAAUCUAACCCUUCCUCUACGGAGAAAGUUGUUGUUGAUAAUGAUGUAGAUGAAGACUUACAAAAAGAAUCAUCAAAAGAUAACCAAAAGAAUGCAUCUCAUAGGAAUCAAGAUGAGCAACAUGAAGAAAUGAAUGUAGAGCAAAAUGAAGGUACUUCUUAAUCACUCCCCAAAUAGUGGAGGUAUGUUUCUUCUCGCUCUAAAGAUGUAAUUUUAGGAGAUCCCUCACGAGGUGUUACAACUAGAUCAUCAAUUAAGAAUACUUGUGAGCAUAAUGCAUUUAUUUCUCAAAUUGAACCCAAAUCAUUUGCGGAUGCGGAAAAUGAUCAAUCUUGGAUUAUGGCAAUGCAAGAGGAAUUAAAUCAAUUUGAAAAAAAUAAUGUAUAGGAAUUAGUUCCUAAACCGGAACAUCAAUCCGUCAUAGGUACUAAAUGGGUAUUUAGAAAUAAGAUGGAUGAAUCUGGUGUGGUUGUAAGGAAUAAAGCUAGAUUAGUGACUCAAGGUUACAACCAAGAAGAAAGAAUUGAUUUUGAUGAAACAUUUGCACUCGUAGUUAAACUAGAAUCAAUUAAAAUGUUAUUGGCAUUUGCAUGUCAUAAAGAUUUCAUUUUAUUUCAAAUGGAUGCGAAAAGUACUUUCUUAAAUGGUUAUAUUAUGAAAGAAGUGUAUGUAAAACAAUCCCUUGGUUUUGAAAAUGAAAAAUUUCUAAAUCAUGUUUAUAAGUUAUUUAAAGAUUUGUAUGGCUUAAAACAAGCACCUAGAGCAUGGUAUGAUAGGCUUAAGAAUUUCUUGUUAGAAAAUAAUUUUUUAAUGGGUAAAGUGGAUACUACUCCCUUUGUCAAACAUAAGAACAAAGACAUAUUUGUUGUUCAAAUUUAUAUUGAUGAUAUUAUUUUUGGUUAUACUAAUGAAUUGUUGUGUAAAGAAUUUUCAUCUUGCAUGAGUAAUGAAUUUGAAAUAAGUAUGAUGGGAGAGUUGAAAUACUUCCUUGGGCUGCAAAUAAAACAAAAUGAGGAAUGAAUUUUCAUAAAUCAAGCCAAGUAUGUAAAAGAUCUACUCAAAAGAUUCAGAAUUGAUGACUCAAAGACCAAAAAUACUCUGAUGAGCACAACAACCAAGCUUGAUAAAGAUGAAAAAGGCAAAGAAGUGGAUAUCAAAAUGUAUCGAGGUAUGAUCAGAUCUUUACUUUAUUUAACUGCAAGUAGACCCGAUAUCAUAUUUAGUGUAUGUUUGUGUGCAAGAUUUCAAUCAUGCCCCAAGGAAUCCCAUUUACUUGCUGUAAAACGAAUCCUUCGCUAUUUAAGUGGAAUUAUAGAUCUCGGCCUUUGGUAUCCUAGGGGAACUCAUAUAGAUUUAAUAUGCUAUUCAGAUGCGGACUUUGCCGGUUAUAAAGUUGAUAGGAAAAGCACUAGUGGAACUUGCUAUAUUCUAGGUCACUCACUUGUUUCAUGGUUUAGCAAGAAACAAAAUUAUGUUGCACUUUCAACUACCGAUGCUGAAUAUAUAGCUGCAGGAAGUUGUUGUGCGCAAGCUCUUUGGAUGAAACAAACACUUAGAGACUAUGGUAUUAACCUAGAACAAAUUCCUACUAAGUGUGAUAAUACUAGUACUAUAAAUCUUUCAAAAAAUCCCAUUUAACACUCUCGAACCAAGCAUAUAGAAAUAAGACAUCAUUUCUUAAGAGAUCCUGUUCAAAAGGGAGAUAUUGCAUUAGAUUUUAUUUUUACAGAAAAAUAACUCGUCGAUAUUUUUACCAAACCCCUUGGCGAAGAAUAAUUUUUGAAAAUUCGGCAUGAACUUGGGAAGAUGAAAUUUUUGCAUUAACUUCUCUAUUAAUGUUAUUUAGUGUAUUGAAUUGAUUGACUUAGUGAUAAUUUGAUCAUUUAAUAUUUAUGAAAUGCUUAAGCAUGAUGUUCAAGUGAUAUGUUUGCUUUUGAUAAUUCUUAAAUGUUUAUAUGAAUUAAUUGCUUGAAUACAUGUUCAUGAAUCAAAAUGGCUCAUAAAACAUUUUUGGAUCAAUUAAAUGAUCUUGGAAUGUAUUAUUUGUAAGCCAAAAAUUAAAUCAAAUGUGCGCAAUUAUAGAUGAAAUAAACGGAUAACUGUUUCCAAUAAACGGUGUACUAUUUUUAUUCCAGAAACUAGAUCAUGAUGUCUGACUUUUACCCUUUUACUGUUUGACGAAAUCGAUAAACCGUUUAAAGCAGAGAGCUCUCUGGAAAAUUACUCCUUUACCGUUAAAAGGAUAACCUUUCACCGUUUCCCAUUCAUUAGUCUCUGGAAAGUUACUCUCUAACUGUUUAAAUAAACGGUUAACCAUUUUCUUGCGACAUAAAAACUGUUCCAAGGGUUUCCUCUCUCUUCUCAUUUGCCCUCUUAUUGUUUCAGCCAUUGUUGCGCAGCCGAAGCUUUCUCUAUCGUCAAACCUCCAUUUUUCUUGAUUUCCUUGCCAAAUCACACCUAAAACAUCUUUUCACAUCAUCUUUAUAUCAUUUUUACCGAUUCAAAUCUUCAAAUUGAGCCUGAAAUUAAAAAAUCCCAAAUCAAAACCCUAAGGGCAGCCGGUUAGGUUUCGUCAUUUUUGACCUAAUUCGUGUCCUUUUUCAACCCAAUUAGGCUUUCAAAUUCCAUCCUCCACUCUUCCUUGAUCCCAAAACAAUUAUUUUUCGUCCAAAGUCACUGUUCUCAAAAUCCCUCAUUCUCUAUGUUCUUUACCAUGGCUGAGUCAUCUCGGAGAACUCGAAGGAGGAAAGAUACGCCUCAACAGAAUCCCAUACCACCACAGGCAGUCUCUGAAUUCGCAAGAAUUUAUUUUCCCACACCUUCAUUGGCCAAGCGUUUCGAGGACCGCUUCAAUGGCAGAAAGGUACUUGAUUCGUUUUAUGUUGACAUAGAAGACUUUAGAACCUUAAUUGUGUGUGGUAAAAGUGUUAGAAAUAUACUUCAACCUUGGGAGUCCGCCAUUGAUUUUGAUGAACGAGUAUAUCCAAAUUAAGUGCGAGUUUUCUAUUCGAACAUAGAAAUCUCUGCAACUCGCCUAGAUAGGAUAGUUACUCAAGUUGGCGGUGUUCAUAUUGAAUUUGAUGAUGAAGAUCUUAAUGGCUUUCUAGGUAUAUCUAGUGAUGGUCAUAAAAUUUGUACAUCUAAGAAAGCUCUUUCCUUUGAUGGUUUUUGUCAUAAUGAUGGAGUUCGUAAUAUUUGUCAGCGUGAAGAUCUGAGUUAUGAGACUUGUCACUUACCUUUUAAAUCUCAACUUUUACCUCUGCAAGUUCGCAUACUUUACACAAUUUUACAGCAUAUAGUGACACCUAGGAAGGGUCACUCGAAUAAGGUUACGAGGUUAGACGUUGGCUUAUUAGAUAGCCUCAUUUCAGGACGACUCGUUAACCUCGGCUAUGUUAUUGUGAGGCACAUGUUGAGUACUCCCGCGAUUAACCACCGCUUGCUUCCAUAUGGCAGUAUCAUUACUAAGAUACUGCGACGCUUUGAGGUGCCUCUUCUAGAUGCCGGUUAUACGGAGACUAGACGGAUUGGUCCAGAGGACAUGACUAGUAUCGAUUUUUCUAGAAGAAUGGCAAGUGGAUAAAGACUAAAAACUCCAAAAAUCGGGAUACUUUGAUUGCUCCUGAGGACGAUCGGAUGCUCAACGAUAUCUAUCCUUCUUAUCAACUUCCAGAUUUUCGAUUAGGAGCUCAUCCACCUCCUCUACGUCGCCGUUCUGUCCUCCAACCUCUAGCUGACUCUGACUCUGAGGAGCGUGAGAUGGAUGCUGAUAUUCCAUCCACUUCGAUGCCACCUCAAGCUCCAGCUCCAGCACAGCCUUCUGCUCCCGAGCCCUCUGUUGUUCCUAAGAGGCCCUCCGUUUUUGAGCCAUUUCCAGCUCCCGAGUAGCCUCCUGCUUCAGUUCAGCCCCCUGCUUCGGCCUCCUUGCAACAGUUGGCGGAUGAUGUUCGCCGGAUUUCGGAGAGGCAGCAGCUGAUUAUCGAUAGAUGGGACACCUUCUCCCACGACCAUCAGCAGCUUCGUUCGGAGUUUCAGACCUUCCAGCAGCAGAGCAUUGAUCAGCAGCUUGAACUUAUAGCUGGACAGCGCACUCUUCUUCGUUAUUUCGGUUAUGAUCCAGGGAGCACAUCUUCACCACCUUCAUAGUUUCUGAGUCUCAUCUUUGCACAUACAUUUCAUGUUUUGUUUGUUUGUUUGUUGCUAUUUAUAUUUGGGUAUACAUUGCUACUUCUCUAUGAUUUUGAUGAUGGAUUGUUUUUGUGAUGUUCUUGAUGUUGGAUGAUUUGAUGUUGGCUGAUUUGAUAUUAGAUGAUGGAUUUGUUGGUCUAUUGGAUGAUGAAGUUAUUGUUAAUAUAUUUGGAAGUGUUUUUAAUCUCAUUUUGUAUUAGUGGAUUUGUUCCAUUUUAAGGGGAAACUCUGCCAAUUUUUUUUUGCUCGCCAAAGUUGGGUAACUUCUUUCUCACCUCUAUACUUUACAGAUUUCUUUUCCCUCUUUUCUUUUUGAUGAUGAAGGUGGAGAGAUCAUGUUAUGCUCCUGCAUUUUGUGUAUAUUGAUAAAGGGGGAGAUAAUGAAAUAAAAAUAAAAUUCACUUUUAAAAUGCAUUUUACUUUUAAAACGCUUUUUGAAAUGAAUUCUUUUUCAAAACGUUUCCUUGAGCAAAAAUCUGUUUAUUGGAUAUUUUUUUACAAUUGGCCAUACAUUUAGGGGGAGCAUAUAUUAAGGGAGAGCAAAAUAUUGAAUGAAAUUUGUCAUCAUUAAAAAGAGGGAGAAUGUUAACAUGUAUAUGUUAAUAAUAUUGAUUUUGACGAUAACAAACUUUAAAUAUUUUUUAUUAAAAUGUUGGACCUAUUCAUUAAUAAACGAAAGCCUUAUAAUCAUUUCAAUUAUAUUUAUAAAAGUUGGGUAAUUGUUAAAGUUGAAAUUAAAAAAUGAUUCUCUGCAAUAUCUGGCUAAAACUAUGAUUCUGUAAAUAAACGGUGAAUCGUUUAUUUUUAACGGCUAACCGAUUAAAUCAAGAGAGUAACGAAUUGCUUAAGCUCUAACUGGUUAACAGAAACGAAAAACACAAAAUGCUGAGAAGGCAACCGUUUACGAGCAGACAGUCUAUAACGGCUAGUUUUUCAGCUCCAACUAUAAAUAAGCUCAUUCAAAUUCAAACAAGAUUGAUCAUAACACGACCAUUGAGCUUAUAUUCGAGAAUACAAUCUUCAUAGAGCUUUAAAACACAUUCUUGCUUCAUUUAUUCACACAUUGGGCAUUGAUUUGUAAUAUUAAAUAUUGUGUGAGAGAAAAAUAAUUUUUAAUCUUUUACUUUGAGUGAUUGUAAGUGUUGGAAUACACUUAAGUUAAGAAAUUGGAGAUAAUCUCUUGUUGUAAAGGUUCAUUGACACCUUGGAAGUCAAGUGUAAGCAUUUGAAGCCUUUGAGGUUUGCUUAGUGAAAUCCUCAAGCCCGGAAAACUUGGAGGCGUAGACGUAGGUGAUGUUGGCUGAACCACAUAAAAAUCUUCGUGUUUGAAUCUCUCUUCCCUUAUCUUUUUAUAUUAUAAUUGAUUUAAUUUUUAUUCCAUUAAAUUCAUUUUAGAUUUGCAUGAUAAUUUGUUUUAGAAUCAAAUAAUUUUUAAAAUCCCAAUUCACUCCCCCCCUCCUCUUGGGUUGCACACUUGUAUUUCAAAAUUUACUCUUAUCCAGUUUAAUUGGAAGGCAAAUUGAGUCCAAUAAUAAUUGAGACUCAAAGGUUAUACUAAUAGGAUAAGAACAUAAGGACUUAUAUAAGUAAAUAAAAUUUUACCAUUCAAUAGAGCUAAUGACACAUCACCAAAUGAGUUGAGUUAAGACGGAAAAAGACCAAAAGGGGGGACGUUAAUUUGAAGGAAUUAUUGCAAACAUUAAAAACUAAUAAAUGAAAGGCCAAAACUAAGUUACGUGUAACGUAACAUACAAUCAAGAAAUUAAAAUAUCUAUAGACACCCUUAGACUUUAUGGAAACUACAUUAAUAGAAUUAAAAGAAAUACUUUUAAAUCUCAAAGAAGAAAUAAAAGAUAUAAAACAAGAAAUAGGAAAAAUAAAAAUAGAAAUGUCUAUAAUUCAGAUGAGUCAAAAGAAAAAUAAAAAAUUAGAAAAAUUUGAAAUACUAAAAUCAGGAAUAAUUGGAACAAGUUUUAAGAAACCCAUACAAAAACCACAAACAGGCAACUAUGAUACUUGGUUUAUGGAAACUCAAUAUCCAAAAAUAUUAAAAGAAACAGAAGAAUUAAAGGCAGAAUUAAAGAAAAAAGAAAAAGGAAAAGAAAAAUUAGAGAUAAAAGAAACAACUCCAAGUGAUUCAGACUAAUGGAAGAUACAUUAGAAGAAUUAACUGAAAAUUUUAGUGAGAUAAACCUUAGUGACUUAGAAGAUUUUGAAAAAGAAUAUCACAUAAAAAUGAAUACUGCUGGAGGACCAGAAAUGAAGCCUAAUAUAAGAGAACCAAGUCAUAGGUAUACAACGAACAAAAAGAAAAAUAGACCCUUUUUUAAAUAUGUACCACCCGUUAAAAAUACCCCUUGGAAAAAAGAAUAUAAGCCUAAUAAUGAUAAAUUAACGCCAAUAAGCAAUGCAGGAACAUUUUUAGAUUUAGAUUGCAAAAUAGAACCUCGAAAAGCUAUAAUUGAAUAGGGAAUGCAAAUGAAGUUAUUUUUUAUAUACAAUGGUUCUAAGGAUGAUUCGAAUGUAGAAUCUGAAGCAGAAAAGAUAAAUUUAUUCGCUGACAUCCUAAUAGCCAGUUUUUCAGGAAAUGUAUUCAACUGGUGGAAAGGACUAAGCGGAGAUACACAAAAAUUGAUAAAAGAUUCAACUAAAACAGCUUUAGCUAGAGAUAAAGGGUUAGGAAUUGAAAGAUUAAUUGAAUAUAUCGCUAGUGAAUUUUUAGGUGAAGAUUGGAUACAAAAUACUGAAAUAGAAACAAGAAAUGAAAAAUUAAAUGCAAGAAUGAAAUUAAUGAAUUUAACUAUUUGUAACAUGUGUUUUGUAAAAGAAUAUACUUGUGAAUUUAAUAAAUAUUAUUAUGAACAAUUCUACAGUCAAGAAGACCAAAGUAUCUAUAAAAAUUUAUAUUAUUCCAAGUUACCAUAUCCCUUGAAUGGAUAUUUAUUAAUAAAUAUAAGAAAUAUAGUGUUACUAAUAAACUUCCAGAUACUUUAGGAUCUAGAAUAAGAUUUUUAAAUAUAAGAUUAAGUGAAAUAUGCAUUCAAAGAAAUCUAAUGAAAAAGAGUAAAAAUAUAGGAGAAAUAUGUUGUGAAAAGACAGAAAUGCCAACCCAAUGGGGUUGUUAUACACCUUAUAAACGAAAGAGAAAGUUAUAUAAAAAAGAGAAAAAAUAUAAAAAAUACAAUAACUUUAAAAGAAAAUACAAGAAACCAGAAAGAAAGUAUUAUAAAAGAAAGUAUUAUAAAAGAAAGUAUAAAAAUCAAAGAAACAAAUUAGAUAAAUCCAAGUGUAAAUGUUGGAAUUGUGGAGAAAUAUGACAGAUUAGCACAGAUUGUACAAAAAAGAAGGUUAGACUCUUAAGAGAAGAUUUUGAAAACAUAAGAAAUGACUUAGAAGAAAUAAGUGAUAUAUUAGAUUAUGAAGGAAAAGAAGUUUAUGUGGAAAAAGGAUCAGAAUAUGAGUCAGAAUAAAAAGGAAAUAAUAGAGAAAGAAGAGAUAGAAGAAAUUGAAGAAAUAGAAAAAGAAGAAAAUAAAAGUGGAUAUAGUCUUGUUGCCACUUUUAAUAAAGAAAAAUAUAAUAAACUUUUGAAAAUAAAUAUGGAAAAACCGAAAUAUGGGAUAUUACAUAGACUUAGAGAUAUAUUCAAAAGAAAACGGAUAAUAUUACAUGAAUAUUAUGAACAAGAAAAGGCUGUAACAAUUACACAAGCUGAAAGAAAUAUUAGAUUUAGUUUAAUAAAUAAAAGAUCUAUAGAUUUAGCAUUAAGAAAAAUAAAAAAUGAAUCAACAAAAGAAAAAAUUCAAUAUGUAUAUCUAGCAUAAAUUCAAAUAUUAGUAAAAUCCUUUUUCAAAGAAGGAAUAGAUAGUCCUAUAGUCUUAUCACUACAUGAUAAAAGGUUUCAUGAUCCCAGUAUAGGACAUUUAGGAACAAUAGAAGGAAAUUUAUGUUACACUAAACUAUUAUUUACAUGUCAUCCUAGAUAUUGUGUACACAUAAAAGAUAAAAAUAUAGAUGAGACGCUAAGCUUACACUUUAAACUACUAAAAAAGAACUUAAUGAAAGAAGGAAAUAGAUUAAUGACAAUACAUUAUUCUGCAUUAUAUAGUUUUUGUAAUUCGAACUAUGGAGAAAUAUAUGGAAAUAAACCUUAUAUAGAAAUAAAUAAAGAAAGUGAAGAGAUAGCAACCCUUAUAGAACCCACAAUCCAAGACUACAAAAUUCCUAUAAAUUAUGAACUGAACAUAGAUGAUAGAAAGUAAUUUUUAAAUGAUAAUAAUGAAAACUCCAUCAUUCCUAUAAGUUUUGCAGGAAGGACUUUAGUAAGAGGAAGUUCAUCUAGAAGAUUAAGCACUGAUAAAUAAAUAACUAGUAUGGAUAAACAAAUAACUAGAUCAAUAACAACUAAUAAUGUAGUAAAAAUACUUGGACAAUACUUUAAUGGAAUAUAAUAUACGACAAAAAUACAUAUACUAGUAGACACUGGAACGAGCCAUAAUUAUAUGAACCACACUAAAAAUAAAAGGACUCUUAAUAAAAGAAAAAGAAAUUCCAUAUGAAUACACUGAUUUUAAGGUAAUAAACAUAUUUGUAAACAAGAAGUUAAAGUCCCUAUAAUUACAGAAGGAUUUAGAAUAAUAGUAUCUUGUUAUAUAGACUUAUUCAUGACCACAGACCCAGAAAAACAUAUAGUGCUAGGAAAUAGUUUUUUAAAUGAUUUAGAAUACUAUAAAAUUGAAAAACAUAAAAUAACCUUACAAAUAGAAGGUCAAAGAACAGUGUGUGAAACAUGUUAAAACAAGCUUAUAUAAAAUACCCUAUGUCCGUUUAUACACAAAUAAACAUAACAGAAAAAGAUAUAGAUACAUGUGCCUUAAUAGACACUAGUAGUGAAAUAAUAAUUAUGAAACCCUUUUUAUCAAACCAAUGGAAACCUAAUAGAAAGUUAAAAAUCAUUAGAAUAACAAGAGAUAAACAACAAGUAAAUCAAUCUUUGAUAAAUUUUGAAAUACAUUUAGGAAGUAAAAUAGUACGUAUUAAUUAAAUAUUUCAAUAUGACCAUAUGGAUUGUGAUAUCCUCCUAGGAAAUGCCUUCCUACAACAAUUCCAGUACUAUCAACAAACUCCUUAUAUGAUCACCUUAAAAACCCCUUGUAAUCAUGUCCUUCACAUCCCUCGUGAAUUUAAACCCUACCGAGUUCAGCCAGCCCAGCAUGGUGAUAAUAUUAUUUAUGAAAAAAUUAUUUAAUCUUGAAAGGACAUAGUUAUAAUAUACAACUAGAAACAAUAAAAUCACAGCUUGAACAAGUCUAUAAAGAUAACUGAUUAGCAUUAUGGAAACCAGACCAUCCUAGAACAAAAAUAGAAUUAAUUGAAAUAGAAUAAUAAGGCUUAAAUCUAUGAUGUAUACAGAAGAAGAUAGAGAAGAGUUUAAGAUCCAAAUAAAAGAGUUAUUAAAUUUAAAACUAAUAAGAACUAGUAAUAGCCUUCAUAAUAGCCCAGCCUUUAUGGUUAGGAAAAGAUCAAAACAAGUAAGAGGAAAACCAAGAAUGGUUAUAAAUUAUAAGGAAUUAAAUAAAUAUACGAAGUUUGAUGAAUAUUUUCUUCCAAAUAAAGAAGUAUUAAUAAAUCUUGUAAAAAAUAAAACAUACUACUCAAAAUUUGAUUGUAAAUCAGGAUUUUAGCAAAUAAAAAUGGAAGAACACAGUAUUCCUUAUACAGCCUUUAGCACCCCACAAGGACAUUAUGAAUGGAUAGUAAUGCCCUUUAGACUAAAAAAUGCCCCUCAAAUCUUUCAAAGUCGAAUGGAUAAAAUAUUUAGAGAUUAUAAAUAUAUCAUAGUCUAUGUUAAUGACAUAUUAAUAGCAUCAGAAACAUUAGAAGACCAUAGAAACCAUUUAAGAGAAUUUGUUAAUAUAUGUAUCAGAGAAGGUAUAGUUUUGUCAGAAAGAAAAGCAGUCGUAGAACACAAGAAGAUAGAAUUUUUAGAAAUGGUUCUUGACAAAAAAGGAAUUAGACUCUAGAGCCAUAUAGAAAAAAAGAUUACAGAAUUCCCAGAUAAAUUGGAAAAUAAACAACAAAUACAAAAAUUUUUAGGUUGUUUAAAUUAUGCAGAAGGAUUUAUAAAAGACUUAGCAAAAAAGAGAAAUAUACUUCAAAAAUUACUCAGAAAAAAUAAUACUAAAGGAUGGAGUGAAGAACAUAUGGAAACUGUAAAGAAUGUAAUGCUGCGUUUACUUUUUGGAUUGGAGUGAGAAUCCUGAGGAGUGGGAAUCCUUGGAUUAGGAGUGUGGAGUGGGAGUGAGAGUAUGGUGUUUACUUAGAUUAAAUGAAAGUAUGGAUUGUCAAUUAGAAUCCCAAUUAUUUGUUUACUUUGUCUUAGAUUAGGAGUAAAUUGUUUUAAAUUACAAUUUUAUCCUUAUGUACAGAAUUAUAAUUUGUAAUUAAAAAAUUAAUAAAAAAUAUAUUUGGAAAAUAAAAUAAAUAUUUUAUUAUAUUUAUAAAUUAAUAAUAAUUACUAAUAUUCUUAAUUAUGUAAAUCAUAAUUUUUUAUUAAUUUUAAUUUAAAUUAUGUGAAUAAAAAUUAUUAAUAAUAGCAACACAAAUGAAAUAUUAUUAUUGAUAAUAUAGUACAAAAUUAAUAUUUUUUAGAAUAAAAUAUUUAUUAUUAUUAAUUAAAUAAAUAAUUAAUAUUUAUUAAAAUUAAUGUUUAAUAUUAUUAAUUUAAAUAUAAUAUUUAUUUAUUUUAUUAAAUUUAAUAAAAUAAAUAUGAUAUAAUUAUUAUUUUUAAUAAAUAUGAUAUUAUUUAUUUUAUGAAAUAUUAUUUAUUUUAUUAAAUAUUAUUUAUUUAUUUUAUUAAAUAUUAUUUAUUUAUUUUAUUAAAUAUUAUUUAUUUAUUUUAAUUUUAAUUUUAUAAGGAUAAAAUGGGAAGAGGGGGGAGUGGAUUCCCACUCCCACCUCCCCCAAUGGGAGUGGGAAUCCCACUCCCCACUCCAAAUUUGGGUGGGACCCACGGAUUCCCACUCCCACUCCCCCCUUUUUUAAGGUAAGUAAACACUGGAGUGUGAGGAAUCCACACUCCACACUCCCACUCCAGAAAGUAAACACUGCCUAAAAGAAGAAUGUAAAAACCUCCCAUCAUUAAGGUUACCAGAAGAAAAUGAUAAGUUAGUAGUACAAACUGAUGCAUCUGAUUUACAUUGGGGAGCAGUACUUAAAACUGAUAUAAAUGAAAUUUGCCGAUAUACUAGUGGAACAUUUAACCCAGUACAAGUCAAUUACCAAGGUCAUGAAAAAGAACUCCUUGCAAUAUACAAAGGAAUAAAAAAGUUCUCAUUAUUUUUACUCUAGAAAUAAUUUAUUAUAGAAACAGACAAUUCUUAGGUAAAUUGGCUUAUUAGUAAAAUUUUGCCAAAUGAACCUCACUACAAGAGAUUACAUAGAUGGCAAGCGUAUUUGUCAUAUUAUAAUUUUAAAAGGAACUAAUAAUUUUCUUGCAGAUUUUCGAAGCAGGAACAUAGAAUUCGGAGACUGAAUACAGAAGUAAAUAAAACCAUAUCUGUGAUAAACACAGAAAUACAAAGGCUCAAAGCAGAAGCAUCAGACAUGCUAGAUACUAUAAAUUACAUGAAAGAAGCCACAGAGGCUCAUGAGAAGGGAAUACAUUUGUUAGAGUCAUACAUAAACGACUUAACAAAAGGGCUUUCAAUAAAUACUAACCCAAUAAAAAUAGGAAGCAGUAGUGGACCUCUCCCACAACAAGAACCAGUCUGUGACCCAUCCUUCAACCGAACCUUGUCCAUUGAAGUCGAAUCUCCUAAAAAGACUUCUACAAAAAAGUUCAUCAGAAUAAACAGCACUUCCUCAGAAGAAGAAAAAAAACUUAUUACCCUAAAUCCAAAAGAAGAAGAAUAUAAAUAGUUUUCCACAUGGGUGUACUCUACAUGUUCCCACAAUAAUACCAUUUUCAAGGCACCUGAAAAAAAUA